UUGUGUUUUGAUAAUUCGGGUGGGAUUUGAAUCCAGUUUGUUGGUUAGUUUUGUCAUUUUGCUUCCCUUGAGAGCCUUUCGCUUCGUUAAUUCGUGGGAUAGACAGCAUCUCAGUGGGUGGCUUUUGGCUGACAUGAUUCACCGGGUGCAGGCAAUAAUUAUUCCUUUCUCAGCAGCUCAUCAGGCCAACAGUAGCUCCUGUAGCAGUAGUUAAAUUGGAAGGUCUGCUGUCUUGCAGGCAACCUUAUGCUGUUCAUAUCUUUAAGGUGCAUAAGAUUACGAGAUCCCGAUCCCUCAUGAGGUGAUUGAAUGGCAAAUCCGAGCCUCCAUUUUAUUCUCCUAGUUCCUUCUUAGUUAUUAAGAUUUAGUGGUACAGUAAUUUUUUUGUAGCUAUUAAUAUUUAAUGGUACACAAUUUUUCUGUUUUAUCUUUAAUUUCUCAUCCUCUGGCUUUCUUACUGCAUGUAGAAUCUAGGAUGGGUUGUUUCAAACAUUCAUUAUCAAUCCCCUGAAACCCUACUUCGUGCUGGUAGAUGAUGACUAGAUAGAAGUUUGGGGGGUCUAUUUCAAAAUGGUCUAUAGUUGAGGGGAUCUUUAUCCUAUUUAUCCUCUCAAUAUAUCUGAUGGUGAAAAGGUGUUGAUAGUCCCUGUCGUGUCCCAAUACUGUCCCAAUAUUGUGACUUAGUCCUUGAACCUUUUCAAUAACACUCCUCUCUUUCAUCUUUCUUAUAUUCUUGGAAUUUCAUCUCUCCCAUCUCUUUGGUUCAUAUGUUGCAGGCAAAAUCUCUCAUUAGAACUCUGCAUUGUAAUUUAAUUACUAGAGAGGAUUGGCAGGCGCGUGAUCAGUAAUUAGAGGCAGCUCUGGAUGGUCUGCUGUUCUGCAGGCAACCUAGCUUGUACCCAUUUAUCCGGUCAUGGCUGGGGUGGAGGAGGUGGUGGUAGUGAUAAGGAUUGGAUGUAUGUGGGUUCAUAUGAUCCUCUUCUCUGAUUAGGGUAUCACCAUUGCUAUCUUCGCGGCACUCACUUAUUCUCUUGAUCAAAGUUCCUGUAAAGGAUAUCCUUCGUCAUUUACUUCUAUUUCGCAAUUCCUGUUCCUUGAUGUGUUUCGGUAUUUGUGGAAGUUUCUGUUGAUCAUCUUCAAGAGAUGCAGAAUAACCACUUUUGUGGAGUAAAGCUUCUCUCCGCGGUCUUCUGAGAUGUAUACCCAUGAAAUUUUGUGCCUCAGGGUUGAUGAAUGGCUAAAAAUCAAGCUUUUUGAUUUUGAUUGUGCAUUCUUCAUAUGGGUUUAAUUGGUCAGUUAGCUUGGUCCAUUGACACCUCUAAUCUGAGCCAUGCUUCAUUAAUUCAUGGGAUGGAUGACAUUGCCGUUGGUGGUGCAUGUCUGAUCUUGUGCACCGGGUACAGGCCAUAAUUUCUCCUAUCUCUGCAGUCCAUAAGGUCGGCGUUUUGGGGUUCACAUAGCAAUGCUCAAUUGAAAGGUCUGCAUUCUUGCAGGCAACCUUACAAAGUCAUUUGUCUUUAAGGUGCGUAAGACUACAUGAUGCCUCAUGAUAUGAUUGAAUGGCAGAUCUGAGCCUCCCUUUUCUUCUUGUUUCUUUUCAGCUAUUAGGAUUUAUUGUUGUCAUUUUCUUCUUCUCUGUGUUUGUUUCUGCAUGGAGAAGCUAGAUCAUCAAUUCCUAUUCCCUGUACUUUUCAGUGGUUGAUGAUCAGAUUUGAGUUGGUGACUUGGUCGGCUUAUUUCAAGAUGGCCUGUAGUUGAGGGGUCUUCAUACAUUUUACCUUUUUAAUAUGGGUUGGAAUAAGAAUCAGAUAUUAUUUUUCAUCCGAGGCUGGUGAUAUCGGUGACUUUAUCUGAGGAAUAAGAGCUAUUUAUAGUCCCUGUACUAUUCCGAUAUUGUAAUUUGGUCCAAACUACAUCUCCACAACCUUCACUUCGGCACAGGUGUAGUUUCCUAUUAGACCUCUGCAGUGUAAUUCAACCACUACAGAGGUUCCAAGUGUGAUCUAGCAAUGGUGAGGCAGCUAUGGAUGGUCUGCCUUUCCGCAGGCAACCUAGCUGGACCCCUUAAAUCUAAUCAUGAUCUGCCAUGAAGAUAGCAUGCCAGUGUAGCUUCAUCUUUAAGACUCUUCCUCUGUUGAAAGUUUGGAGUGCCAUCUUCGUGGUACAUUUGUUCUCUUGAUCCUGUUAAGAAUACUAGUCCCAUAUUCGAUACUUAAGCUUUUUGGAUUGGUCCGAGACUUUUGGCAUAUCCAACUUCUAGCGAGGGAUAUUUUUAUCUUUUUUUUUUUUUUCAAUUAUUCCAUCUGUCCUUCCUGAUGCCUUUGAUUAUUUGGAGAAGGCGGUAAUGAUUUCUAGCAUGUUGCACAUGAGCUUUCUUCCAAAAUGUUAUGAUUAUUCUAUCCCAGGCUGUAGAAUAUUGAUUUUGCCAAUUGGACGUAGUGGAGGAUGCCGGUCAGCGCGUGUGCGGAGCCUAAAUGAGGUGAAAACGUUUUGGCGCGAAAUGGACGCAAAAACGAAUGAAUAGGGUCAAUCUCUUAUUAUGGAGGACCAAAUCGCAAAUAGACAAAGUUUCGGGCUAAGUUGCAAAAAGGGCAACUUAGUGGAAUUCCACUAAGAGCUCUUAACCUUAUUUUACUGUUCUUUCACUAUUCUGGCCUCCAGUAGACCUAAUGGGAAGAUCGUGGUUAUCGUCGACCGUAUCCACUGGGAACUACUGUUUAGUAGUUCUCACAUCCUUUUGUGGUUUACUUUUGAGGGGUAGGUAUACUGACGGCUGAUCGAGGUGAGGGGGAUCGCGCAGUAGAUACCAUCUCCUACCAGCAUGCCUAGACAUGAGUGGACUACUAGAUAGAGUGCUACUCUGUACUACAUGCAUGUACUGGUGAGGGCCAGGGCUUUUUUUCUUGUACUUUUCUUUUGGGGUUGAGUUUUAUUUGAUAUAGUACAUGAUGUACAGUAGUUUAGUUUGUAGAUAGCGCUCUGAUACUUGUCGUUUGCUUAUUCUGUACUUCAUGUUGAUUCCUGUGUUGUGGAAACUUCUCUAGUGUGACCUCUUGGAAUCCUUUGUCCUGUUCAGUUAUGUUGACGUUUCGUUCAGGCAGGAAAAAACUCUGUUCGUUCGGCGAGUCUGUUGACGUCCCCAUAGGCUUCCGCUGUGGACUUGGGGCGUGACACAGGCUUCCUGAGAUUCAAAGUUUGAAACCCUUGAAAUACUGCUUUAGGUUUCAAAUCUUGGAAGGCUCUGCUUUUCCAGCAGGCAACCAGUUUUGCAUUCAGGGUUCAACCCGUUUUUUCGAAAUUUUUUUUUUUUUUCCCAUAUUAUAUCAUUUCUGACAAAAAGGUUGUAUCCAGUAUUUGAUUUGUGUCCCCAGCUAAGCACUCAUGGUUUCCAACACUGCUCUCCGUUGAAUGUUUGUAUUUGAAUUUGUACUUGGAGAAGUAUGGAAAUAGUCAGUUGCUAUCUGAACAAUAUCCGACCCAUUUUCAUCCCUAGUUAUGUGACAGGUAGUGAUCCUAGUAGAGUCUAGAGACACUGAAGAAGAGAUAUAGUCGUUUCUCACCCUCUAUCAGCGUCUAGAGAGUCUAGAGAGUAAGAGGGAAUCGUUAUCCUGAAAUUUCUUUCCUAAUGUCCAUAUCAGUGUCUCUUUACGUUUUAAUCUUUCUGCUGUGGAAAUCUUAUUUUAGAUUGCUUUACUUCGCUUUCUCGUAUGUCCUGCAUCUAGGUAAUCUUCUUAAUCUAUGUUGUUAGAGCCUUCUUGACUGUCUCUUCUCUCUCUACUUGGGUUCAUCCAUUAACCAGAUAGAAUUGUCCUCUUCUUUUUCUGCAGAAUGUGUUUACCUAAACUAUGAACAAAUGAUAUACAUUUUUUUGUUUUUUCAAUUGACCUCUGAAUAUUGACUUGGUUUCUUUGAUUAAUUAGUUAGUUCACUGCAGUCGGCUUUUUUUUUUUUUUUUUUUUUUUUUUUUUUUUUUUUGGUUUUUGGUUUAUACAUUCUGUUUCCAGCAUAUUUUUUAUAUUAAUGGCUUUACUGUUUACUGUUUUCUGAAUUAGUAUUUUGCAGUUGACAUUUCUCUCGUAUUCCCGUUUCUUUUUAUUAUUUUUGUUAUUAUUGUACCGUUUUGUGUUCUUUCAACAUGCUUGUACAUCUUUCUUCUCUUAUUCUUCUAAUCCCUAGCUACCAUUUUACCAUUGAACCCUGAAUUCUAAACCCUUGGGACAUUGUUUGGUUCAUAAGUGGAGUGAGAAUGGAAAAUAGAAUGACAAACCAUCAACGAAUGUUUGAUUCAUUAUUGACCAAAAUAGUUGUAUAAUUAGGAGGUUCACUUAGAGAGCGGGGGUGUACCGAGUUAUUUAAUAAAAUAUAGUAGAGGACCUACUCGGCAAAAAUAAUAGUUUACGCAGUUAUUUGCAAAAUAACUAAAUUUUAAUUUUUAGGAUGUCUCUGAACAUUUUUUUUUCCUUUAUGAUUUUUUUUUUUUGGCAAUGUUAACUCUACAACGCACCCGUUUUAGACUGUAGAUCUUAUAACUAGAUUAUCCAAAAAGAUAAUCAACUUUGUGCCCUUAAAAAAGAGCUAAUUUCCUCUGUAGCUUUAAAAAAUUAAUAAUUUUUCAUUUACCUUUUAUUUCGAAAAUAUACUCCCGAAAAGAAAAAUUUACAUGCUCCUUUAAAUAUUUGAAAGAAGGAUCAGGUAAAUAUGAAAUUAAUUUUGUAUUGAGGCGUAUAUGAGUAGUGAUAUUAAUGAACACUAAUGUGAUAAUUUUUGUUGAAUUAAUGUUAAAAGUUAAUUAAAAUAAAUAUUACAGAAAAGAAGUUUAGGAGAAAAACCAAAAAUAGGAAAUUACUCCAAAAAUCUCAAAGAAGGAAAAGGAAGGUAAGGAUGUUGUUUCAAAAUAGCUAUUAUUGAGGAGUCUCGACGCUUUUUUGUAUUUGAAAUCAAUGAUUUAAGUGUCUUGGCACGGGAUCGUGCGGAAAUUUGCCGGCACGAUAUGUGCCGAGCCGUGCCGAUGCGUGUCGGUCAAAAAAAUUCUUGCAUGCCGACACAUGGCAACAUGAAAUAUUUAUUUUCUUUAGUAACAAAAUAUUUUAACUAUUUAUUAUAUUUUUUUAUCACAUCUUUUGAACUUUAUUGAGGAAAUUAUUUACUAAUUUAAAGAAUAUAGGGUUUUUAGCUGUGCCAUCGGCACGGGAUCUGUAUCGUGCCGGUAUCUUGUUGGUGCGAUAUGGCACGGUGGAAACGGCCCGUGCCGACGGGUACUUAAAAUCUAGUUCGAAAUGCUGAGUGCACAUGCGGUUGUUACAAAUUAUUUAUAAUUACAAUGUUUUCCACUAUAUCUAAUUAAACAAAUUAUCUAUAUCUAUAUCUCUAUACUUAUACAUUAUUUUCCAUAUAGUCUUGCCACGUAGCGGUCCCUUCUUUAUCUUACCUUCUCCUCUCUUCUCUAAUCACAAUUGUUUCAGCCGCACAAAACCUUUGAUCUUCCAAUCAAUGAACGAUCUUAAACCCACACUCUUCGUUUCCCCACUAAGGAGUUACUAACGCAUUAUUAACUUUAAUAAUUAAUAAUUACGAUGAUCCGCACAAUUAGCACCACUAAAACCCCAUCAUCAUCAUCUCCUCUUUCUCGGAAUCAAAUAUCACACUCUAACAAUGUCCUAUGUUAUAAACCAACUUUUCUAUCUAUUAUUCUUAUUAUUAUUCUCGAACGCGAGGACGAACCCGUCAACGCCAUUCGGGUCGAGCCAUGAUUGUUCAGGCACAUUGUUUGGGUUCAGCGUAUGCUUGGAGUUAGUGGAGGGCGGGGCGAACGGGUCCAAAUCGGGGUUGCUGCUCUGGGUUCGGUCACGUGCUGAGUCGGAGUGUCACGUGCCUCUGUGAGGCCAUACGAGAUAGGCGUACCCGUGAACGUCACCAAAGCUCUCGCUUUGCCCUUGCUUUGUGGGCUCUCCUACACGCCAAUUGUCCUCUGUUACAAAACUAAGAGGUGUAUUUUUUUUUUAUGGUCCAAUUUCACCUGUACAAAUUGCUUUCAUAAGAAAAAAUAAGUAAAAUAAAAUUUUUUUGUACUCUUUUUUUCCCUUUUUUUGGCGCAUAAGAAUGGUUUAUAUUUUGUAAUUUUUUUAAUUUUUUUUAUCUUUUUGUUUUUAAAUUGUAUGUGUACUGAAAUUAGGGUUUUGUGGAUUGUAGAGCAGCAAAGAUAGAUUUGGAGUCAACGAGAGAAAAGAAGUGGAAUCAACGUGGCUGUGACGAAAAGGAGCUCGACAUUGAUAAUGGCGACAAAGGUAAUGUGGAGAUGGGGAUUCGUCUUCCCGAUGUCGGUAGUGAAAUCAAGAUACGUAUGGAGUAAUAAUUCUAUUGCUGCUUCUUUCAUUACUAUUUUUUAUAACUUAUUUAAUGAAAUUAUAAAUUUUGUUACAUUUGUACGUAUAUCUGUUUCAUCUCUUUUAUUUGUAUAUAUGUUAAUAUAUAUUAUUUUUAUUUAUUAAUGUCUUAUGACAAUUCAAAAAAUUUAAAAUUUUUACUUUAUGAAUUUUUUGUCUUUCUAUAGCAUCAAUCCGCCGCAAUGCACGGAUAAUUUCACUAGUAUAUACUUAUAACUGCGGCAUGAGUUGUAAAUCUUAUAUUUCACGAUUUAAAGGCUAAUUGUUACACACUAGUUAUAUCGACAUAAUUUGAUAUAGCUAAUAUGCAGCAUGUAACUCUUAUAAUGAGAUGUAAAAUGUAUACCCAGCUUUUGAGUUUACAGAUUUGUUUGUUAAUUCGCGAAUUAUUCACGAAUUAUUAAAAAUUCAAAUUAAACGGUCCGUUUACGAAUUUUUUUCAAAAAAAAAAAUUAUUAGCGAAUUUUUUGGCCAGCCGAAUAAUUCGCAAAUUAUUUUCGAAUUAUUGAAAAUUUAAAUAAAAAACUUAUAAUUUUUAUGUUUAAAUAUAGAUUAUCUUAUAUUUUAUAUAAAUAUGAGUUCUCUGUUCAUUCUCCCCCCCAAAAAAAAUAUUUAUAUAUAUUUUAUAAUUAAUAAUGGGCUAUUUUAAUCUAUUUCUUGCUUGAUUGUUUAUAUACCAUAGUGUAUAAUAUAAUUCUCUAUAGUUUUUUUUUUUAUUUAAUCUACUUUAUUUUGUAGCUUUUUAUUCUUAGAAUUGUAAAUGUUUACAAUAGUAGUAUAAAUCUAGAAAAAAAAUUGAAGUUUAAUAGGCAAAUUUUUUAUCCCGAAUUUUUAAUUGAUGAACGUAUAAUUUUCGUAUAAAUCACGUAUCCGAAUAAUUACCAAAUCCAUUUUUUAAGUCGAAUUUUUUAACAAAUUAAAAAAAUUAAAAAACGAAUUUUAUACGUAUUAUAACCGUACCGAAUUUUUUCCGAAUCCGAAUUAACUAACUAUGGUUUAAAGGUAGCAAUGCUCUUUUCAUACAUCCUACUUUCGUUUGAUUUAGCCCAUUUUCUAGUAAUACAAUAAAUCCUUCUAGAAAAUAACUUGGAACUAUAUUACAUUUUAAGAGAGUCUGAGACUUAUGCUGGGUUUAUUCCGAAAAAGUUAAAUUGGAGGUUUGGGUUUCAAAACUAUUGAACCUUCUUUUCAAAACAACUUAGAAUAUUUUAGGUAAAGAUAAUACUCUUGUUUUUGAAUUUACAAUAUCAUGUUUUCAUUCUUUAGAAUUUUUUUUUUCAUCGGUCAACUUUGUUUAUUUAAUGUACCCAAAAAUAAUCUUUGAAAAAUAUAAAAUAUGGUAUGUCAUAUUUGACAGUUGUUGACAUGAACGCAUUCUUAAUUGAAAACGAGUUUAUUUCAGUUCAUUAAAAAUUGCUCAAUCUUACAAUCUUUGUGUUAUUCUAUCAUGAAUUCAACUUUGGAGUUAUUUUAUCAUGAGAUUGUUCUGAUUAACUUUUGCUUUUAUUGUUAUCCAUAUUAAUAUUCACAUUUAUUAAUUUCCUCUAUGAAAGUCUUAGAAAAGAGAAAUUUCGCACUUUCUUUACUCUGAGACAUUUUAUUUAGAUAUUUACAAGCAAAUAUACAUUAAGGGUGUGUUUGGUUCGCAUUAUGAAAGAUAACUAGGAAUAAAAGAUAUCCUAGAAUUUUAUUCCUAUUCAUCCUAUUACUAAGAAUGUGGAAUUCAUGUGUUUGGUUUGCACGGUAAUAUUAAUUAGCCAUAUUAUUUAAUAUUACAAAAAAUAUACAAUUUAUUUAUUUAUUUAUUUAUUUAAUUUUAGAUAAUGUUACCAAAAAUUUCAACAUCUUUUUAGAAAAAAAGAAGAGAGAGUAUAAAUUAGAGAGAGAGCGCAUAAUUAAAAAAAUAGAAAGAAAAAUAUAGUCGAAAUUAGAGGAAGUGAGAGAGUUGAAAUUUUAGAAAAAGAGAGAGAGAGCAAGCUUAGUUUAGAGAGAGAAAAAAAAGUUGAAUUUUAGAGAGAAAAAUAAGUUUAGAGAGAGAUAUAAUGUUAGAGUAUAAAAAAAAAUAAUAUCAAUUAGCCGGCGGAUAGGAAGAAAGAAAGAGAUUAGACAUAUUAUGAUUACCUCAAUCCAUUAAUAAAAGGAUAUCCAUCCUCCUCAAGGGAAUGAGAUUAGUACUUUGGGGUGAAUCUUAUUCCUAAGUGAAUCCAAUAUUACCAACUAGAUUACUUAGUGCGUUUAGCCAAACACUGUCAUAUUUUUUUAUUCCCAUUGGAUUACUAGGAAUCUUUAAAACAUAGCGCGAACCAAACGCACCCUAAGAUUAUUGCACUAACAUUGGGUACAUUAAACUUGAUAGAAUACUUUUCUACUACUUUACUCUUAGAACUAGUUGAAAUCUAAUUGACCAAAUCCUAAUUGUUUUAGAUUGAUGGGCCUGGUUGCAAUUCAAAUAAAUUUGUAGAAUACUUUUGUUUAUUUUAUGUCCUGCUCUGAUGGGAUAUUUACUAGUGAUGUGCAACAAUUUUGGAAUAUCUAACUACAACUAUGGAUUCAGACUGACUUGUGUCCAGUUAUGGGUCAGAACUGUUUUGGGUUUUGAUUUUGUGUCUAACUAUGUAUCAAAACUUAACUGGGUCUUAGCUUUAGAUCUGAUUUUUGAGUCUAAUUAUGGGUCAAAACUAAAUUUGCCUUUGAUUUCUGAUCUACUUAUGGAUCAGAAUAAAUUAUAAUUACAUCUAAUUAAGAUUUGAAUGAUUCUAAUAAACGGCCAGAACUGAAAAAGCACUAGUUAUGAGUCUAAUUAGUUAGAGAUUUUACUUAAUGAGAAUCCUAUUUUGCUAAAACUAAGUUAGUGUUUUUCACCUUCUUUAUUCGAAUAAUAAGAUUAUUCUCUAUGAUUUGAAAGCCUAUAUAUUAGCAAAUUAAACAAAGAAAUAAAAAAUUAUAUAAAACAUUACAUAUAAUAAUAAAAUUCUUUCACAUCAAUAUAUAUUGUUUAAAACAAAUUUCACAUACAAAUAAUAUACUAAAUAUGCAUAUUCCACAAAUUAAAAAAACUAAUUAUUUUCAACUACGUAUGCGCCAAUUGCUAUUGCCAUGCGACUCAAAAGUUCGCGCUUUACUUUUGCAUAGCCGUCCGUUCCCCAAUGACUACCCCAAGAGUUUUUUAUCAAAUAAUAUUUGACGUCGUUUUCUACACCGUAUCCAACUAUAGUCACGGAGUGGCUCCCUCGUUUUUUUUCUCCAACAUGAGGACCCAUAUACACAACCUACAUGGAAAAAAAAAAUAGUCAUUAUCAAAUUAAAAAAAGGUCAUUAUCAAAUAUUAUAUUAUCAAAAGUUAAUUAAAAUUUAUAAGUAUUAGCAUAUAAAAAAUUAUUCAUUAUUAAAUAUUAUAUAUCAAAACUUAAAUUUAUAAAUACUAACAUCUCUCGGUAGAUGAGUAAAGCUGUUAUAUAUGUUUAUGGCAGCAGCAAUAGGUCGUUCUCUCAAAAUUUCUUCGAUUUCUCCCUCAUUAUGUCUUCUUUCCAAUUUGCUCUGAAAAUCUUGAAUCUUCACUCUCUGCUUCUUCUGUAAAAAAUAUUUAAAAUUAUCCAAUAAUUAAUAGAUGUAUUAAUACUAAAUAAGUUUUUUUAGUGUAUAAGUUAACUUACAUCUUCAUUCAUUUGACAAUAUUGGCGUCGUGCAACAUAUGGAUUAUCAGCUUCCAUGGCAAUACCAUAUGUUUUGAUGUACUCUAAACACUUGCUAUGUGUGCACUGUAUACAUCCAACGGCGUCUAUAUGUUGUUCACGGGAAGAUGGAUACAUUUCAUGAUAACAGUUUACUAGCUCUUGUUUUGAUAAUUCAAUGAGUUGACCAUACUUUUUUGCAUAUUCUGCUUCAACUAAAGUGGUGGAAGAAAAGGCAUAGCAACAUUCUUCGUAUAAUUCAUUAAAGAAAAAAAACAUUAGUUAAUAAAACAAUAAUGAAUUGUAUUAAUCUCUACAAAAAAUCAUUCUAUUAAGUAUACUUACGACACUCUCUUUGAUUUCCUACGUCCUCCCGAAUUAUAUUAAUUGGCUUGUCGUAAAUCAAAAGAUGCCUAUCAUAUUAAAACAAAGAUAUGAAAAUGAGAAUUAAGAAAAUAAGUAAUUUCUAUAUAUCAAAUAAAAAGUAUAAUCUAUGAUAAUUUUUGUUAUUUGAUAACUUUUUUAUUGGAAAAUUAGGAUAUUCGCUUAUUUUAACGAACUUAGUUUAUUUUACAAAAUUCAUUUGCAAAUAGCUCGAGGUAAAUUAAUUAAAGAAAAUUUAGUAGAAUUAAAAUUAUUAAAAUAUUAGUUGGUAAAUCAAAACUUAAACUAGAUUAAAACUAAUCCUAUUUUAAAUAGGUUUCAUAUAUAUAUAUAUAUAGCUAACGACUCAAAAUUCUUUUGAGUUAUUACCAUGUUAGUGUGGGUUGCGAGGUGGAGUUAGAAACAGACCCAAUAAAAAUAAUCUUAUCUAUCAAAAAAAUGCACUAUAUAAUUUACAAAGUGCAUGGUUAUGUGGGAGUGAGAUUCUCUUCUCACACUUUCAUUGGAUAAAAAUGUGUGAAAGUACUAUUAUACAUGAGAUUUGCAUUGAUACUUUGGCAGCCAGACUAACUAAAUUUAAAUUAUAUUAAUUACCUAAGGUCUCGUUUGGCAUGCAUUGUUGCUGGUUAUAAGAUUAUCAAGAAAAUGCACUUUGUGAUUUACAAAGUAGUUCAAUGUGGGAGAGAGGUUCUCUUCUCACACUUUUAUUGGAUAAAAAUGUGUGAAGUACUAUUAUACAUGAGAUUUGCAUUGAUACUUUAGUGACAAACUAAUGAAACUUAAAUUAAUUAAUUAAGUAAGGUCUUGUUUGGCAUGAAUUGUUGCUUCUCGUUUGGCAUGCAUUAAUUUGUUGCUAGUUUUUACUUUCUUAAAUAUAUAAAAAUUUUAUGUCAAAAACUAUAAGAUUAAAUGAUGUACUACAUGUAUAUGACUUUUGCAUUGCAAGUUAAACAAAUCAUGAUAAGAAAAGAAAAAUCAUCCUACAGAAAUCAAAUUAAGCAUAUGAAAAUAUAUUGUGUUUGAAAAAAAAAAUUAAAAUAAUAUAAAAUAAAAUCUAAAAUAUUUUACUAUAUGCACCGUCUAAUUGAGUAGCUGAUAAAAUUUAAAGAUAACAAUUUAUCACUACUCUAUAAAAAAAUAAAUAUUUUGAAGAAAAUGUGUAUAAUACUAGCAUUCACGUACGGGAUUUGCAUGGGACCAUGGGUACUUCUCCCACCGUCUAAAUUUGAGUAACUAGAGAUAACUAAAGAAUACACAUGCACGUUAACUACUUAGCUUGAGUUAAUUGAGUGAGCUAUUUUUACGUAUUAGCUAAAUUGGUUCAUGAUUCACUUGUGAGGCCUCUUUGGAGAAAUUGUUGCCUGCAACCAACAUAUAAUGAUGCAUGCAUUAGUGGAAGAAUCUAUGCUUUUAGAUGGAUGAGAUGUAUAAGUUGUGAACCUAACAUAUAUAAGUUGCAUUGCUCAUAAAACCAAGUAAUAAUUUCACAAAAAGUUCAAAAAUUGGUAGUACAAUUAAUGUACCUAAUUUUAAAGUUCAAAUGCGCGCACCAGAAUCUUUUAAAAUUUUGCUCAAUCAUCCAAACUUUAAAAGUUUCUUAUUUGUCAUCCAGAACUUUCAAUUCUUUAACAUUUAACUACUUACUUUAUACUUUGUUAAUUUAAACUGACUGACAAUACCUAAAUGGUCAAGAAACAAUAAACAACACAUGCCAAAGCUAUAGAAAGGAAUUUUUUUUUUUUUUUUUUCCAAUGAUGGAAUUUAGUUUUACAGUAAAAAACAUAUUUUUUAUUAUUAACUAUUAAAAAUUAUAGUGAUAUUCUCAGCAAAAGAAAUAUUAAUGAAGUGUGUUUUUUUUUUUUAUUAUUUCUUGAUCAUUUGGCUAAUUAAUAUUAUAGAAACCUUAAAUAUACAAAAUAUUGGAAAUACGUUCUAGGUGAUAAAUAUAUAAUUUCUGUAGUUACAGAUGGUUAUGUGCAUCAGACUGAAAGUGGAAGUGCAAUCAACCCCUAUUUUCAGACCAAACUUUCCAUGAAUAAAUAGAUAGUUUUAAAAUUUUUACAGUAGUAGUACAUCCAUAUAUACUAGUUAAGGACCCAUGCGAAUGCCGCGAUAUAAAAUAUUCUAAUCAUAAAAUUUAGUUAAUUUUUAUUUUUUAUAAAAAUUUAUUAGCUUGUUUUUUUAAUUAAAUAAGUAAUAAUUAAAUUAAUUUAAAUAAAAAUAACUUAAGUUAGUACAUAUACGACAUAAAUUUUUAUAUUAGAUUAUUAGUGAUCAUCUCGUUAAUAACUACAAAUGUAUAAGUGAAUGUGUUAAAUUAUUAAGCUAAUUACAACACAAUUUAUUAUUUUGUAAAGGUAUGUGUAUCAACUAGGAUUCAAACUAGGAACUUCGGGUAUCAAGUAACAAGUCAUUUGCUGCUUGCGCUAGGGACGGUCGAUAAUGACCUCUCAUAGUUGAAGAGGAGAGUUAGGGUGACACAUGUUUUAUGUGCUUUCCUUAACUCUCCUUUCAGAUAUUACUGGUGAAGGCAUCCACAUGUUACAGUGGAUUGGUACGGCAGAAAUAAAUAAAUAAAUAAAGCUAAAGAAAGAAAAAAUAAUAAAAAAAAGAGUCAAAGAAUAAAAAUAAAAACAAACUAAAAAAGAAGCAGCAACUAUUGCAGUAAAAGUAUAAGAAUAAAAGUAUAAGAAAAGUAAUAAAAAAAAAAAAAGAAUAAAGGCAAAAUAAUAAGAAUAAUAAAUUCAAUUUAUAGCAUCAGUGAAAGUUGAGAAUUAAAAUGUCAUAUGCCUGAGAGUUUGAUUCAGAAAUUGUAACUAAUUAAAGCUUGAGAACUAAUAAUUUGAGCAAGAAAUAAUAAAGCAUUAAAGUUUGAAAAUUAAAGUAUUACGGAUUCUAUAAUUUGAGUAAGAAUUAAUAGCGGCCAUUUGAUAAUCGCCGUUAUCAAAUUAUCGCUAAAUUAUUAUUUUAUUGUAGUGACUGUACUCAUAUAUUUUGUCUUGAAUGAGAAUUCUUUUUAUUUUGGAAGGAUGUUGCAUUCGAUGUGCGAAAAAAUUUCGAGCCCGCUAAUCCCGUGGCGCGUCUUGCCACUCUGGCUCGUUGCCGUCACAUCCUGUCGAGGGAACAAGAAACCGGCAGAUCGCGGAGUUUGCCCACUUUCUCUUUCUCCCUUUCUCCCUAUCUGACUAUUAGGGGUGGAAACGAGCCGAGCUCGAGCGAGCUUAUGUCAGCUGCCGAGCAAGCUUAAUCCGAGCUUUUCGAGCUUAUAUAUAUAUACAUAUAUAUAUCAUCCCGAUAACACGAUAAUCCUCGUGUUGUUUGGAACACAAGGAUUCAAGAAUUGACAGGUAGUUUAAACUAACUACCAAUCCCACUUUCUCUCUUCUCUUUAACUUCUUUUCUUUAAAAGAAGUUAAAGAGAAGAGAGAAAGUGGGAUUGGUGGGUAGUUUAAACUACCCGCCAACUCUUGAAUCCUCGUGUUCCCAUCGGGAUGAGAUAUAUAUAUAUAUAUAUAUAUAUAUAUAUAUAUAUAUUACAUAAAAUUAAUAUAUAUCCAAAAUUAAAUUAAACCCGACAAUAACAACCGAGUAUUUUAUUUGGGUUGUUCAUGUUGGCACGUUAACUCGGGUUGAGUGUUAAAUAUAUUGUGUGAGAGAAAAAGUCUGAAAGUGACAACGUGUAUUGGGAUUUUGCACUAUUGUAAGUUUAAAGGUUUAGGGAUUAAAAAAAGGGGGGGAGAGAGAGAGAAGAGAGAGAGAGUCUGGGAGUGGGUCAAUCCGCCAGUGGGAUCGAGUGUAAAGAACGUUAAUAAAAUAUAAAACUUGAUAACCUGUACAACGUAGUUUAACAUCCAUUACAAGAUAUUUUUAAUUUGAUGACUAAUAUAUUACAGUUCUUAAAGUUAGCCGAGCAAAUCUCGAGCUCGAGCCGAGCUGAGCUUUAAUCCGAGCGAGCUCGAGCGGAGCUUAAUUAAAGUUCAGCUCGAACUCGGAUCUAAAUCCGAGCCUUAAUUAAAGUUCGGCUUAAACNCUCUCCCCCUCUCUCUCGCACGCCACUCUCUCUCUCUCUCUCUCUCUCUCUCUCGCACGAACACCUAUCAUCUUCUAUUGCGCCGUCCUCCCAGGUAAUCAUCACGAUCUCCUUCCCUCCAUUCGUCAUUUCUGUAAAAAAUAAUAUUCAAAUGACCACAACAAGGGUAAUUUUGAAAAAAACUAUACUUUUAUGUCAGGAUUACUAAAUUUUAUAAACUGAACCAAACGUAUUAAUGCUAUAAACACUGUAAUCUAAUAUUACAUUACUGAAUUAAACCAAACGUACUAAUACAGCAUCAGUAGUAAUCUCACGCCGAAAUUCAAGAUACUUGGAUAUGUCGAGAUACUUUGUAAUAUUACAUAACUCGAACCAAACGGGCCCUUAAUAUAAUCAUUCUUCUUCUUUUGCUAUUGUCGUUAUUUUUUUGUUUCGUCUUUUUUCUUCUAAUAACUUUGUUAUUAUUGUUGUUCUUGCUGGUUCUUCUUCUUGGUUCUUCUUCUUUAGCUUCUUUUUUUAUUUUUUUAUAUUUUUACUGCUACUAUAAAUAUAUUUAUUAUUCUUAUGUUUGUGUCUUUAUUCUUUUUUCAUUUCUUUUAUAUUUAUUAUUCUUAUGUUUGUGUCUUUAUUCUUUUUUCAUUUCUUUUUAUGCUUUUAUUCUUAUAUUUUAUUGCACCACCUGUUGCUGCUGCUGCUUCUUCUUCAACUAUUACUUUUUUUCUAAUUCUUUAGUUUCUUUAAAUUUUUUUAUGUUCUUAUUGUUUUUUUCCUUCGGUUUUUUUCUUAUUUAUUUGUCUCCACAUAACUGACUUCCCGCAACGCGCCGGUGUCUUCACUAGUUUUACAAUACCAGCUAGUCUACUACAGACCGUAACCCAAGAACAACUUUUAUAACUUGAGCUCUCUAUAUUACUCUUCAGAUUUGCUAGAAUUCAACUCUUUAAGAGCAGACAACUUAGCAUGCCAUCAAAAUAUCUAGUUUAAUGAUCCGCGUUUUGUCGAUGUCAUAGAUUUCUUUGCAUAAAUACAUGCUUAAUCUGAAAGCGAUAACUUAAUCAAACGAUUUAGUAAUCCAUCAUUCCCAAUUUAAAGAAACCAAAGUUGAUAAAUCUAGUGGAUUAGAAUGGAUUGUCAAACAUGGCCUUCAAAUAAUUAGCUGCAAUAGUUAGGAAAUGCGCGAUAAGAUUGGCAAAGCACAAAACAAACAGCGAGCGAUUUUGUAUCCACUAAACUCCUCUAAAGCUGAUCUAGCUAUUAUGUCCAGAUGAUACAAUUUGGAACUCAGAAUAUGGCAUGUAAAAACAGUUUUCCUAGGGUAAUAAGGUUAACAUGCAAUGGCUAGUAUAACUCAAUUCUUAAUUCUUCACUUAACAACUUGGGACUAACGAAUUUGUCCAGGUCUAAAUCAACAAACCAGAAUUUAGACCGUGCGCAUUUCAAUUUCCGCAACUUGGACCAUUUGUGAACGACAGAGUCGUGCGCGAACAUGUUUGCUUCACAUUAUCAGUUGUUUGGUCGAGAUCUCAGCUGGAAAGUGCAUCUAUAAAGAUAGCANUUAUUCUUUUUUCAUUUCUUUUUAUGCUUUUGUUCUUAUAUUUUAUUGCACCACCUGUUGCUGCUGCUGCUUCUUCUUCAACUAUUACUUUUUUCUAAUUCUUUAGUUUCUUUAAAUUUUUUUAUGUUCUUAUUGUUUUUUUCCUUCGGUUUUUUUCUUAUUUAUUUGUCUCCACAUAACUGACUUCCCGCAACGCGCCGGUGUCUUCACUAGUUUUACAAUACCAGCCCAAGAACAACUUUUAUAACUUGAGCUCUCUAUAUUACUCUUCAGAUUUGCUAUAAUUCAACUCUUUAAGAGCAGACAAUUUAGCAUGCCAUCAAAAUAUCUAGUUUAAUGAUCCGCGUUUUGUCGAUGUCAUAGAUUUCUUUGCAUAAAUACAUGCUUAAUCUGAAAGCCAUAACUGAAUCAAACGAUUUAGUAAUCCAUCAUUCCCAAUUUAAAGAAACCAAAGUUGAUAAAUCUAGUGGAUUAGAAUGGAUUGUCAAACACGGCCUUCAAAUAAUUAGCUGCAAUAGUUAGGAAAUGCGCGAUAAGAUUGGCAAAGCACAAAACAAACAGCAAGCGAUUUUGUAUCCACUAAACUCCUCUAAAGCUGAUCUAGCUAUUAUGUCCAGAUGAUACAAUUUGGAACUCAGAAUAUGGCGUGUAAAAACAGUUUUCCUAGGGUAAUAAGGUUAACAUGCAAUGGCUAGUAUAAUUCAAUUCUUAAUUCUUCACUUAACAACUUGGGACUAACUAAUUUCUUACAAUGUCAUCCUUAAGCAGGAAGAAUUUGUCCAGGUCUAAAUCAACAAACCAGAAUUUAGACCGUGCGCAUUUCAAUUUCCGCAACUUGGACCAUUUGUGAACGACAGAGUCGUGCGCUAACAUGUUUGCUUCACAUUAUCAGUUGUUUGGUCGAGAUCUCAGCUGGAAAGUGCAUCUAUAAAGAUAGCACAGAGAGACAUUAGGUAGGCCAACAAAAUCUGCUUAACUGAAAAUUUGGAGGGCAAAGUAAAUAUCUACCAAACAUGAAGUGAUUACCCCCUAUUCUUUCUAAUUCAUAGUACAAUUCAGACAUGAGAUCUCUUAUUUCUUGCAACAGCUAAAGCCUAUUUCUGCCAAAUAUAAAACUGCAGUACAGUUUGGCCCAAAUAUCUCUUUCAAUUGCCAAAAAAUCAACAAAGAUUAACACUGUAAGUCAUAAAAUUGUUAGAUUACCUCAAACUUGGAAUGCAUUUGGUUCUGAACGACAAUCUAUUAGCGGCAAAGCAUCAAUGGUAAAGCAGCAACCAGGAGAAGAACAGAAUUAUAAAUGACACCUUAAGAUUCUAGAAUUCGCAAACCAUGUACCUUGAAAUUAAACUGAACCAUCAUCAAAGACCAGAAGCAACUCCAUCUACGAGAAAUAAACCUUCCAAAUUGCCCUACCGUUCAAACCUUUAUAUAUGGAUUGGAUCGAAGAACAGGGAAUAAAAAUGCAGAGUUUCCAAGAUCCACAUUUAAUUAACUGUUUGUUUAGCAUGACCAUUUUCUCUAUUGCAAGAAGCAAACAACAGCAUUUGAAACAGGAAAAGCCCUCGUCUUUUUCUAUGGCAGCAAACUGAAAUAAAAUUUCAUUGACUUGUCUGUCUCCAAGAACUAAGUAGGAUUUAUUUCUCACAAAUAUAAAGGCAAACAAGCAAACUCAAUAUAUUGUUAUAUUUCAACUGCCUUUCAGACAAAUACCAGUCAAAAAUUAGUAGAAGCCAAUACCACUUAGAAUAUAAGGGCAACAUAUUUGCAUAAGGUAUGUGUUUUACACUACAAAGUUUUGUAUCUCACACCGAACCCUACAAGUAGAUAAAUUUGACUCUUCACGAGAGCACCAACAAACUCCCAUAUUCAGGAAAAGUAGCAUCUUUUAUUUGUUAAAGCAAAGAUAAGAAGAUAAAAUGCUACAAUAUAACUUGUUAAAGCCUCCAAAGUACUAACAUCAAUAACUAAGAACUUAAAAUAAAGAAAAACCAGCAAUCAAAAUAUAUAUAUAUAUAUAUAUAUAUAUAUAUAUAUUUCCCACCAUUAUGCACGACCAAACAGCACCUGAAUGGCGAAGCAGCCUGGUGUAGAGCAUGACAUUCGGCCUACAAAGCAAAUAAGGAAACAUCUAGUUGUGUUAUUGCAAAGAGACAGAAAAUUUAAACAAACAAGUAUUGCUAAUUAUAUUUCAUUAAUUAGCAUAAUCAUAUAAAGAUAACAUGGAGCAUGUUAUCCAACACUUUAUUAGGAAUACUCUCAGGAAGCAUUAGAAACUAUUCUGCAACAAUUGAUAUGCAAGAAAUAAUUAGCAUCUCUUCCUGAAUCUUAUGAGAAUCAGUAAAAGAUAUAGUCCUCCUAACAAUUCAAAAGCCUCAUCCAAAUUCCUAAUUUUACAAGUCCAAGAAGUUACCAAUUUGGACAAAUAUAUAGCUAGCUAAUGUCGUAGCUGAAAUUUUUUUUCAUUAAAAAAAUUAGCACAAUGAGGAAAAAAUAAAAACUUAACAUAAAACAAAGUUGAACAUUGAUGUAACUAAGCAUUGGAAGUAGAAAUACAAGACGAACAGAAUAAAUAAUUUUAGCAUAGGAAACCUCAUUCUCCUUUUCUACAACAUAUCGCAUGACGCAUGGUUUUCAAGUUAGACAACAGAUAUCGAAUUAAAUAACAAAUGCUCUAAUUAAUUUAAGUACUAUAUACACAAACUAUGACCUAACUAUACAAACAAAUAAAUAAAAAUAUACCUUUACUAACUCGCAGUUGGCUUGAGUCUACAAAGAGCAACUCUAAUGUUACGUUGCACCCCAUAAAACACCUUCGCCUGGAAGAUUUUCCACUCAGCUUCACUGUCAACUGCUUGGAAGGUAACAUAGUACCAAAGUCCUGCUGCGACACUACACGUUGCCUUCUCUAUUUUUACAAACACAUAACUCAUAUCCUACAUUACGAAAACAUCACGAAAUCAAUUUUAUCAAAAAAAAAAAAAAAAAAAAAAAAAACACACAAAGAAAUAAACAAUAAGAAAAGACAUACACAAGGCAACAUGAACAUACAUUUUCCUUAUUAAAAUGUUCGAUUGCCAAUUUAGUACAUCUGAGAAGAAUUUCAUCAUCAAAAUCCGUGAUCGCCGUAAGGCCAAACUCACAAGUGCCUGGAAAUGGAUCAACAUCGAAUCCCUGUAAAAGACAUGUAUUAACAAUUAGUGAAAAAAAGGUUAUGAAACUUUAACUCUCAAAAAGAAGACAAUAAUUAUUAAACACCUCGCUUUCCUUGAUUUGUUUGUAAUAUCUGUCCCAUUCUUCGCGAGUCCUACUGCGAUUACCAUUAGGCCAAACAUAAACCUCAUCUUCCUCUGAAGUAUGCUCAUAAACCCUUUGAUCCUUCUCGUUCCCUUUCUCUUCCUCCAUUUCACUUUGGGUAUCUUCCUCCUUGCCCUCUUCCCUCAUCUCUUCGCUUUCUUCCUGCAGUUUCAACUUCUUCUGCAGCGGCCCUUCAGGUAUCAGGUUCUUGGAAUUCUGCCUGUAUCACAAAAUGAAAUAUAUCUAUCAUAAAAAAUUUAAACAAAUUUCAAUCAAAACUAACGACAAUUUAAAAAAAAAAAAUCUUAAAUUGGCUCAAAUAGAAGAAGAAUUUAGCCGAUGCAUACGAAACAGAGACCAAACAGGGCAUAAUUCAGGUGAUACAUUCCUAGAUUAGGAUUUUCUAAUUACGGAAUAAUAUAUUAUUUAUUUUAAAAUAUUUCAGUUGUUUCCAAUAAAGUGUAAUUAGGGUUAGGUUAUAGAAAUGUGUAUCUUUUAGGGUUUGGAGAAUAAGAAGAAAUUGGUCGUGUUGUUCUCUUCUCCCUUAUCUAUCUUUAUCUCUCUAAUAUCUCUCUCUUUAGGAGGUUCGAUCCCCUCGAAGUGAUCGUUUAUCCCUAUUGAUACUAAUAUCUCUCUCUUUAGGAGGUUCGAUCCCCUCGAAGUGAUCGUUUAUCCCUAUUGAUACUAAUAUCUCUCUCUUUAGGAGGUUCGAUCCCCUCGAGGUGAUCGUUUAUCUCUAUUGAUACAAUACAACGGUAUCAAUUGGCAUCAGAGCCUUGUAUGUAUAGUGUAAACUCCAGCAAAAAAAGAUUUUCUGAAGAAGAUGAAUGGGGAUUUCAUAAGAAAAGAAGAGAUGAACGCUCGGUUUUCCAAUGUGAAGGCCCAACUCAACAAAGUGGAGACCGAGGUAAAGCUCACUAGCGAUUCUAUUAAUGAUCUCAAAAAUUUGAUCAUCCCUAUGAGCACGAAGAUGGAUUUGCAGCCGCAUACGCCAUUUGAAGAUACAUUCGUCUCGAAUUUCGACAAAAAUCAUCCCUUGCUCCCAACUCCUAUUAAGAAGGAAGCAUUGAUCCUAUUCAAAAUGUUCGUGACUAUCAGGCUCGACUCGAAAUGCUUGCCAAUCGCACUUAACAUUUUUCAUAAGUUUCUUGCCAAUCGCACUUAACAUUUUUCAUAAGUUUCUUCAUUAGUGGGCUGAAGGAGGAUCUAAAGUAUAACGUCCGAGCCUUCCGACCAACUUCUAUAUCAGCUGCUAUUGGUCUUGCUCGUCUACAAGAGGAGAAGUUAAUAGCUCAACAUCGUAUUAUGAAGCCUAAGCCUUCCCUUUUGUGCCCUUCCAUGACACCAAUAUCUAAUGAGGCGCUUCCACCCAUAAAGCGCCUUACACCGGCUAAAGCAAAAGUAAGAAGAGAUCAAGGCCUUUUGCUACAAUUGUAUGAAAAAUAGUCCUGGACAUCGAUGAAAAUCAAAGCAACUAUUUUUGAUCGAGGCCGAACGUGAUGAAAACAGAGAAGAUCUAAAGAGGAUAGGCAAAGGUUGAGGAUUUUCCAUCUUGAGGGCAAGGUGGCUAUCGAGGGCGGUGGAAUGACAUAUUCCUAGAUUAGGCUUUUUAAUUAUGGAAUAAUAUAAUAUUUAUUUUAGAACAUUUCAGUUAUUCUCAGUAAAGUGUAACUAGGAUUAGGUUAUAUAGAUGUGUAUCUUCUAGGGUUUGGAGAAAAAAAAAAAUUUGACCGUCUUGUUCUAUCUUCCCUCCCGUUCUCUUCCCUCUUAUCUUAAUCUCUUUAAUAUCUCUCUCUUUAGGAGGUUCGAUCCCCUCGAAGUGAUCGUUUAUCCCUAUCGAUACGGUAGAACCGUAUCAUCAAGCUAAAUUUCGUAAAUAAUUUUUUGGAAGGACUAUUUUUAUAAUUAUAAAAUAUGUUAUAAGUAUAUUAAUAAAAGAAAAGUCAACCAGCCAUCAUAAUCAAAAUAAUCAAAUGCAUAUCAAACGGCACAAACGGCAUUCUAAUCAUUUAUUACAAUCCAAAAUUGAUCAGAGUCAAACACAUAUCAAAAUCGCACAUAAAAAAAAAAGCACAUCCUGACAUAUGUGUACAGAAUAUGGUAACAAACGAGAUGUAUACCUUUGCCAGGUAAAGACAAUCUUCAGGAGAAGCAAGGCCUUCGCGAAUAAAGGCGGUGCGAAGGCACAGGAGAAGGAGACUCAGACUUGCGCUGCAAGUUUUGAUUUUAAUUUAGAGUAAACUUCAAGUCCCAUCCAUGUAGUUUCGCACUUCCUCAUUUUAGUACUCUAUAAUUUAAAGUGUAUCAAUUUAGUGCCCUCUGGUUUUAUUUUUCUCUUUUCAUCAACUUCUUCGUUAAUAUUUCGUUAAAUUAUAUACAAAAAAACUUCAGAUACCCACCUAGGUUUAUCGAAUAUUUACUUUAAUACUCUUUAGUUUUAACUUUGUCAUUGAUUUAAAGAAAAAAAUUAGUAGAAUUGAUAAUAAAAGGAUAAAAAUAAAACCACAGGACGCUAAAUUGAUACACUUUAAAGUAUAAAAUAAUAAAAUGAGAAAAUGUGAAAUCACAGGGGUGAUAUUUGAAAAUUUUCUUUUAAUUUUUAGUUUUUUGUUUUAGCAGUGGGCGGUGGCGUCGGGUGCUUCCCAUACGUGCGCUGCUGGCCCGGUACUUGGCAAAAGCCAAAACCACCUGAGGAACGAAUCACAUCCCCAGUGACGUUUCUGCCCUACUUUUGGAACAAAAGGCCAAAAAAAAAAAAACUUUAAACUAACGUAAAAAAGAUUAUGAACUUUAGUUUUCUUUUUUGUUUUUUUCCCAAUUAGAAUCUUAUUAUUCUAUUUGAAUUGGAUUCUAAUUCGGUUUCAGAUUUUGAAUUCCGAAAUUUUUCGGAUUCAAAUUCAGAUUUACUAUUUUUUUUCCCUAACUCAUAUUCAGAUUCGGAUUCAGAUUCGAAUAUGCAAUUUUGAAAUAUCCCAACAAAACUCUCACAACUUUUUUUUAUUUUAGCUUUAAAUAGAAUUAGGCUGGUAUACUUCCGUGCUACCAAAUUGUUUUCAAUAAUGCAACCUCCAAAUCGACGAUCGGCUCCGUUAGACUUGAUUUAUACUAUUGAAAGUAUUUGAAAACUAAAUUUCAUAAUUUUUCGACAUCAUUUGUCUAGUGAUCAAAAGUUACCAAAAUUGACAAUUUUAAUAGUCGACGUGAUGUAUUUGUGAAUUUAACGGUGUAAAACAAUUCAAAUCUGAUAAAAUCUUUAUAAAAAAUUCUUUUCACUAUUUAGAGUAAGAUCAGUACCUCUGAUCUUAAAUCAAGUCUUUUAUCAUCAUUUUUUAUAAGUUUUUUUAUUUUCAGUCGUUUAUUUUAGACUACUCAUUGAUAGAUAAAUAAUGUCGACAAAUUAUGAAAUUUAGUUUUCAAAUACUUUUAAUAGUGUAGAUCAAGUCUAAUGGAGCCGAUCGUCGAUUUGGAAGCGGCAUCAUUGAAAAUAACUUGGUAGCACUGAGACCUCUGUGCUACCGAUAGUAUACCAGCCGGACUCCUUUAAAUAUUAAUUAAAUAAUAUAAGUGGUAUGGUAUCCAAUGUUGAUUUAGGGGCCGUUUGGUUCAGGAACAAAGCGGGAAUAAAUACUUGUUCCUUUUUUUGUUUCCAGAUGCUAUGUUUGGUACUCGAGAACAAGCAGUUUUCAAGUCUCUGGAAUAAGCAAGUAUAAUCCGGUAUAAGUUUUGAAUUGUUAUUCCAACUUUUUUCUAGAACAAGCUUGUUCCCAAGUAGAAACAAGAUUAAUUAAAGUUUAAAUUUAAUUUUAACUAUGAUAUUAAAUUAUUAAUUAAUCUAAUUAAUAUAUUAGAAUUAUUAUCCAUUGUUUAAAUAAUAAAGUAAUUAAUUAAUUAAUUUAUUAUGUAUAAUUAAUUAGCUAAUUAAUUAUUAAUAAUUUAAUGUGUUUAUCUAUAAAUUAAUUUUUAUAUUGAUCAACCAUUAAUAUUAUUAUUAUUCUAAUUAAUUUUUUAAUUAGUUAUCAGACUAAAAUAAUUUACUAACUAAUUAAAAAUCUAAAUUAUUUUUUAUAGUUAAUUAAUUAAUUGAUAUAUUUUUAUUAUCUUCUAUAAUAUUCAUAGGUAAUAAAUUUAUUAAUUUAUUAAAUUAUUUUAAUUAAUAUUUUGAUGUUAAUUAACAGGAUAAAACAUUUUUAAUUUAAAAUUAUAACUCUUGUUUUUUCUGUUUCAAUCUAAUCAUCCAAACACUAUUUACCUUAUUUUCAAAAACAAUCUAAUUUUUGUCUAAAUGCAAAAUUAGUCUAGUUUCUGUUUAUAUCUAAACUUAUAUCUAUUUGUGAAAUAAGUAGUUUUUACUCGUAUCUGAACCAAGAUUCUUUUUUAUUAGUUCGGUUUGGACUACUAUUGAUGUGACAAACUAUUUAUUUACCUUAUAGUCUCUCUUCUUCUUUUUUUCCUUAUUUCUUUAAUUUAUGUUUUUUUUUUAUUAUUUUGAAGUGGUGGUUUCAUCACAAACAAAUAUCUUCCUUCGUUUCUUUGUCAUUGUACCAUCAACUAAAACCUUUUCUUAAAAUAGAGAUCAAAGGUUGUGACUAUUUGCUUAGGAGGCCGUUUCUAGAAGAAGGAAUGCAAGCUUACAACAAAAUUCUAUUAUGUGCGGAAUGGCAAUCUUGGUGGGUCUGCUCCUACAGGCAACCAUUAUUUGCAGCCGUAAGGUGGAGUGAGGGUUUUGAUGCGGUAUGCUUUGAGGUUGAUCUGAACUUUCAUAGUACAAUCAGAGGUUAAAUUUUGUGUGAAAGUUGCAGAUUUGGGCUUCAGCUCCCUAUGGGAGAAGAGUAAAAUUACGCUGUUGUUUUCUGAAAUAUUGCAUAGCCCCCCGACCUCCACCACCUUGAUAUUUAACAGUUUGUUUUGAUUUUGAGUGACCAAGUAAAUUUGAUUUGCCUAAUGUCUAUCUUUUUUUUAUUUUUUUUCUUUCUUUCUUUCUUUCUUUCUUUUUUUAGCUACUUGCUUUUGCUUCUCCUCUACUUACCACUAUAAUUUUAUGGCCUUUGAAUCAUUUGAAGCAUUUUGGUUGUUUUCAUUUUAGUCUUUACUGUGUCGUGAUUAUCUAACAAACUCUUUAGGUUAGCUGCAAAAGAAGUGCCUUUUAUUGUUGAACUACAAUGGGGGUGCCGUAUGCUGCUCUUGUUGUUGCUAUUAUUAUUAUUAUUAUUGUUGUUGUUGUUGUUGUUGUUGUUGUUGUAGUUCUUCUUCUUCUUCUCUUAUGUUGUUGAACUAUAGAAGGGGUGCUUCUUCUUCUUCGUCGUCGUCCUGCUCCUCCUCCUCCUCCUCCUCCUCUCCUAUUCUUGUUGCUAUUAUUAUUAUUAUUGUUAGAAGGGGUGUAAAGUCUCAUCUUUCAUUUUUUGGCUGGAAAAAGUGGUAAAGUUGGAAGACUUUGCAUUCAAGUAUCUCCUGCACUGCAGGACUAUUUUGGCAGGGGCUACUCGGCAGGCAACCAUUUUGCAUUCAGAUUGACAUUACAGAUAUGAGGGACUAGUGCACAAUAUCCAAGAUUCGAGGGAAUCACAUGCCUCCCAAAAUGAGAUAGAGAGAGGGAGAAAAACUCUUAUUAUCGAUGAAUCGGCAUCUCUGAAACAUGGUCAAAUUAGAGAAAAGCUUUCUAAGAAGAGAGGCGAUGAUGGUUCGUAAUCCUCCUCUCAUGCUCUGCCACUCCCUGAUUUAGUAAUGGCGUGGCAACCCUGGAGGUAUAUUGUCUUAAGGUGACAAUUACAUGUUGUGGUUGUGAGACUGGUUUGUGGACAACAAAUGGCAACCAGGUUGGUAUUCAUUGCUAGGUGGGAGUGGUGAAGACCGAAGAUAGGAGGGAGGCUAAUGGAAUAGUUCCCCUGAGCCUCUGCUUCUAAAUCCUGUUUUAUUGUUCUAUGAAUUAUGAAGGCUUUUUGUGGACUUCUGUCCAUGCAUCUUGUGCAGGUAAUAAUUUCUCGAGCUUAUCUUUUUCUGAUAAGGUUGAGGAUUUUCCAUCUUGAGGACAAGGUGGCUAUCGAGGGCGGUGGAAUGACAUAUUCCUAGAUUAGGCUUUUUUAAUUAUGAAAUAAUAUAUUAUUUAUUUUAAAACAUUUCAGUUAUUUUCAAUAAAAUGUAACUAGGGUUAGGUUAUAUAGAUGUGUAUCUUCUAGGGUUUGGAGAAUAAGAAGAAUUUGACCAUCUUGUUCUAUCUUCCCUCCCGUUCUCUUCCCCCUUAUCUAUUUUUAUCUCUCUAAUAACUCUCUCUUUCUUUAGGAGGUUCGAUUCUCUCGAAGUGAUCGUUAAUCCUUAUCGAUACGGUAGAACUGUCUGUAUCAUCAGGCCAAAUUUCGUAAAUAAUUUUUUUGAAGGACUAUUUUUACAAUUAUAAUAUGUUAUAAGUCUAUUAAUAAAAGAAAAGUCAACCAACCAUCGUAAUCAAAAUAAUCAAAUGCAUAUCAAACGGCACAAACGGCAAUCUAAUCAUUUAUUACAAUCCAAACUUAAUUAAUCAGAGAGUCAAACACAUAUCAAAAUCGCACAUAAAGAAAAAAAAGCACAUCCUGACACGUGUACAGAAUACGGUAACGAACGAGAUGUAUACCUUCGCCAGGUGAAGACAAUCUUCAAUACGUCCAUGUCGAGAAGGACAAUGCGGCGGCGGCGGCGGCGGCGGAUGCCGGGCGAAGACGGGGGGAAGGAUCGGACUUCAGGAGGAGCAAGGGCUUCGCGAACAGAGUCAGUGCGAAGAGACAGGAGAAGGAGACUCCGCCGCCGCCGAUGCCGGGUGAAGACGGGGGGAGGAUCGGACAAGGGCUUCGGGAACAGAGGCGCCGAUGCCGGGCGAAGACGGGGAGAGGAUCGGACAAGGGCUUCGGGAACAGAGGCGGUGCGAAGGGACGGGGGAGAAGGAGACUCAGACUUGCUGUGCACGUUUUGAUUUUAGUUUUAGAAAAACUUCAAAUGCCAUCCUUGUGGUUUUAUAUUUUCUGACUUUAAUAUUCUAUAAUUUAAAUUUAAAGUGUAUUAAUUUAGUAUUUUACGAUUUUAUUUUUAUUUUUUUAUUAUAAAUUUUAUUAAUUUUUUUCGUUAAAUCAGUGACAAAGUUAAAACUAAACGGUAUUAAAAUGAAUGUUCGAUAAACCUAGGUGGGGUAUCUAAAAUUUUUUAUAUAUAUUUUAACGAAAUAUUAACGAAAAAGCUAACGAAAAAAUAAAAAUAAAACCGCAGGACACUAACUAGAUACACUUUAAUUAUAGGGUACUAAAAUAAGAAAGUGUGAAACCACAUGAGUGAUUUUUGAAUUUCACCCUUUAGUUUUCAGUUUUUAGUUUUUUUAUUUUAGCAGUGGACGGUGGUGUCGGAUGCUUUCCAUACGUGCGCCACAGGCCGAUACAGACUUGGCAAAAGCCAAAACCACCUGAGGAACAAAUCACAAUCCCAGUGACGCUUCUGCCCUACUUUUGGAACAAAAUGCCAAAAAAACAGCAAAAAACUUUAAACUAAUGUAAAAAGGGUUAAUUACACCGAUGGUCUCAAAUCUUUGCACUAUUUUUCACUUGGGUCCCCAACUUUUUUUUUUGCAAUUGAGUCCCUAAUCUCUUGAUUUUAUUACAAUCACGUCCCGCCGUAAAAAAUACUGUUAAAAUUAAUGGAAUAGAAUAGGCAUCCUUUUGCAUGUUAAUUUUGGUCCAUAAACUUUGCACGUUUUUCACUUUAGUCCCUAAAAAAAAUUUAAAAUUUUAAUUUGAAAUUCAAAAAUAAUAUUAAAAUUAAAAUUUUAAACUAACGAGAAAUUAGAAAUUUGAAUUUGAAUUUAAAGCUAAAUUAAAAUCUUGAAUUGAAAUUUAAAUUUUAAAUUUGAAUUUUAAAUUGAAUCUAAAAUUUGAAUUCAAACUUAAAGUUUUGAUUUUGAUAUUUCAAUUUACAUUUAAAAUGAAAGUUUUGAAAUUGAAAUUUAAAUUUAAAAUCGUAUUCAAAAUUUUGAUUUUAAAUUUAAAUUUGAAUUCAAAAUUUAAAUUUAAAAUUAAGAUUUGAUUUCAAUUCUAAAUUUGAAUUUAAACAUCGAAUUCAAAUUCACAUUUUGAUUUGAAAUUUCAAAUCAAAGUUUGAAAUUAAAUUAGAAUUUAAAAUUCGAAAUGUGAAUUCGAGUUUAAAAUUAAAAUUUUAAAAUUAAAUGUAAAAUCAGAAUUUGAAUUCAAAUUUAAAUUUGAAUCCAAAAUCAAAAUUUAAAUCUUAAAUUAAAAAUCUUGCUUUAAAUUUAUAAAUGUAAUGGGUUAAUUACACCAUUGGUCCUCAACCUUUACACAAUUUUUCAAUUUAGUCCUCAACCUUUUUUUUUUUUUGCAAUCCGCUGACACCCGCCUCUGUGGCGCUGACACGGCGCCUCCGUGGCGCUGACAUGGUGCUGACGUGGUAUUUUCCGUCAAUUUUAAUACCUUUUUGACGGCUGGGACUUAAUUGUAAUGAAAUCAAUAUAUUAGAGACUUGAUUGCAAAAAAAAAAAGAUUGGGGACCAAAUUGAAAAAUAGUGCGAAGGUUUGGGACCAAUGGUGUAAAUAACCCAAUGUAAAAAAGAUUAUAAACUUUAGUUUUCUUUUUUGUUUUUUUUUUUUCUAAUUAGGAUCUUAUUAUUCUAUUUGAAUUUGGAUUCUAAUUCGGUUUCGGAUUUUGAGUUCCGAAAUUUUUUGGAUUCAAAUUCAGAUUUACUAUUUUUUGCCCCAACUCAUAUUCAGAUUCGGAUUCGGAUUCGAAUAUGCAAUUUUAAAAUAUCCCAACAAAACUCUCACAACUUUUUUUUAUUUUAGCUUUAAAUAGAAUUGGAUUCGGAUUCGAAUUCGGAUUCGAAUAUGCAAUUUUGAAAUAUCCCAACAAAACUCUGACAACUUUUUUUAUUUUAGCUUUAAAUAGAAUUAGGCUGGUAUACUAUCGGUAGUACGGAGGCCUCCGUACUACAAAAUUGUUUUCAAUGAUGCGGCUUCCAAAUCGACGAUCGGCUCCGUUAGAUUUCAUAUACGCUAUUGAAAGUAUUUGAAAACUAAAUUUCAUAAUUUUUCGACAUCAUUUGCCUAGUGAUCAAAAGGUAUCAAAAUUGACAAUUUCAUAAUUUUUCGACAUCAUUGGCCCCAAUUUCCCUUUCAAUUGCCAAAAAUCAACAAAGAUUAACACUGUAAGUCAUAAAAUUGUGAGAUUACCUCAAACUUUGCAUUCGGUUCCGAACGCCACUCUAUUAGCGGCAAAGCAUCAAUGGUAAAGCAGCAACCAGGAGAAGAACAAAAAUAUAAAUGACACCUUGAGAUUCUAGAAUUCGCAAACCAUGUACCUUGAAAUUAAACUAAACCAAAAGCAACUCCAUCUACGAGAAAUAAACCUUCACGUACGGAUCGGAAUAGCAAUUCCAACUGUUUGUUUAGCAUGACCAUUUUCUCUAUCGCAAGAAGCAAACAACAGCAUUUGAAACAGGAAAAGCCCUCGGCUCUUUCUAUGGCAGCAAACUGAAAUAAAAUUUCAUUGGCUUGUCUGUCUCCAAAGAACUAAGUAGGAUUUAUUUCUCACAAAUAUAAAGGCCAACAAGCAAACUCAACAUAUUGUUAUAUUUCAACUGCCUUUCGGACAAAUACCAAUCAGAAAUUAGCAGAAGCCAAUACCGCUUAGAAUAUAAGGGCAACAUAUUUGCCUAAGCUAUGUGUUUUACACUGCAAAGUUUUGUAUCUCACACCGAACCCUACAAGUAGAUAAAUUUGACUCUUCACGAGAGCACCGACAAACUCCCAUAUUCAGGAAAAGUAGCAUCUUUUAUUUGUUGAGGCAAAGAUAAGAAGAUAAAAUGACACAAUAUAACUUGUUAAAGCCUCCAAAUUACUAACACUAAUAACUAAGAACUUAAAAUAAAGAAAAACCAGCAAUCGAAAAAAAAAAAAAAUUUACCACCAUUAUUCACGACCAAACAGCACCUGAAUGGGGAAGGCCUGGUGUAGAGCAUGACAUUCCGCCUGCAAAGCAAAUAAGGAAACAUCUAGUUGUGUUAUUGCAAAGAGACAGAAAAUUUAAACAAACAAGUAUUGCUAAUUAUAUUUCAUUGAUUAGCAUAAUCAUAUAAAGAUAACAUGGAGAAUGUUAUCCAACACUUUAUCACGAAUACUAUCAAGAAGCAUCAGAAACUAUUAUGCAACAAUUGAUAUGUAGGAAAUAAUUAGCAUCUCUUCCUGAAUCUUGUGAGAAUCAGUAAAAGAUAUAGUCCUCCUAACAAUUCAAAAGCCUCAUCCAAAUUCCUAAUUUUACAAGUCCAAGAAAUUACCAAUUUGGACAAAUAUAUAGCUAGCUAAUUGUGGUAGCUGAAAUUUUUUUCAUGAAAAAAAAUUAACACAAUGAGGAAAAUAUAGAAACUUAACAUAAAACAAAGUUGAACAUUGAUGUAACUAAGCAUUGGAAGUAGAAAUACAAGACGAACAGAAUAAAUAAUUUUAGCAUAGGAAACCUCAUUCUCCCUUUCCACAACAUAUCGCAUGUCACAUCGUUACAAAUAUCGAAUUAAAUAACAAAUGCUCUGAUUAAUUUAAAUACUAUAUACACAAACUAUAACCUAACUAUACAAACAAAUAAAUAAAAAUGUACCUCUACUAACUCGCAGUGGGCUUGAGUCUACAAAGAGCAACUUUAAUGUUACGUUGCACCCCAUAAAGCACCUUCGCCUGGAAGAUUUUCGGCUCAGCUUCACCGUCAACUGCUUGGAAGGUAACAUAGUACCAAAGUCCUGUUGCGACACUACACGUUGCCUUCUCUAUUUUUACAAACACGUAACUCAUAUCCUACAUUAUAAAAAACAUCAUAAAAUCAAUUUUAUCAAACAAAAAUAAAGACACAAAGAAAAAAACAAUAGGAAAAGACAUACACAAGGGAACAUGAACAUACAUUUUUCUUAUUAAAAUGUUCGAUUGCCAAUUUAGUACAUCUGAUAAGAAUUUCAUCAUCAAAAUCCGUGAUCGCCGUAAGGCCAAACUCACACGUGCCUGGAAAUGGAUCAACAUCGAAUCCCUGUAAAAGACAUGUAUUAACAAUUAGUGAAAAAAAAAAAGGUUGUGAAGCUUUAACUCUCAAAAAGAAGAUAAUAAUUAUUAAACACCUCGCUUUCCUUGAUUUGUUUGUAAUAUCUAGCCCAUUCUUCGUGAGUCCUACUGCGAUUACCAUUCGGCCAAACGUAAACCUUAUCUUCCUCUGAAGUUGCUCAUAAACCCUUUGAUCCUUCUCGUUCCCUUUCUCUUCCUCUAUUUCACUUUGGAUUUCUUCCUCCUUGCCCUCGUCCCUCAUCUCUUCGCUUUCUUCGUGCAGUUUCAACUUCUCCUACAUCGACUCUUCAGGUAUCAGCUUCUUAGCAUUCUGCUAUAUCACAAAAUGAAAUACAUCUAUACAUAAAAAAUUUAAAUAAAUUUCAAUCAAAACUGACGACAAAUUAAAAAAAAAAUUCUUAAAUUGGCUCAAAUAAAAGAAGAAUUUAGCCGAUGCAUACGAAAUAGAGUCCAAACAGGGCAGAAUUCAGGUGAUACAUUCCUAGAUUAGGAUUUUCUAAUUACGAAAUAAUAUAUUAUUAUUUUAAAAUAUUUCAGUUGUUUCCAAUAAAGUGUAAUUAGGGUUAGGUUAUAUAAAUGUGUAUUUUUUAGGAUUUGGAGAAUAAGAAGAAAUUGGCCGUGUUGUUCUAUCUUCCAUCUUGUUCUCUUCCCCCUUAUCUAUCUUUAUCUCUCUAAUAUCUCUCUCUUUAGGAGGUUCGAUUCCCUCGAAGUGAUCAUUUACCCCUAUCGAUACGGUAGAAUCUUGUUCUAUCUCCCCUCCCGUUCUCUUCCCUCUUAUCAAUCUUUAUCUCUCUAAUAUCUUUCUCUAGGAGGUUCGAUUAUCUCAAAGUAAUCGUUUAUCCCUACCGAUACGGUAGAACCGUAUCAUCAGGCCAAAUUUCGUAAACAAUUUUUUUGAAGGAAUAUUUUUAUAGUUAUAAUCUAUUACUCUUUAUGAAUCCCCAAUGUUUUAAGCUGAUGUGUCAUAACCUCCUAAUUUUGAAUUUUUUUUAAUUUAGAAUGAUCAAUUUUAUUCUCUCUCUCAACAUACGUCUCUUCAUCUCCCCCAUUUAAUUUUUAUUUAGAAUGAGUCAUUUUACUCUCUCUCUCAACAUACGUCUCGUCAUCUCCCCUAUUCAAUUUUUAUUUAGAAUUAGCCAUUUUACUCUCUCUCUCUCAACAUUCGUCUCCUCAUCUCCCUCAUUUUAUUCUCUCUUUCUUAACAUACGUCUCUUCAUCUCUUCCAUUUAAUUUUUAUUUAGAAUAAGCUAUUUUACUCUCUCUCUCCAUCGUUGGUAGAUGUACCAAGUGAGAUAUACAAAAAAAUAUUUAAUAUUUUAUUAUUAUUAAUUACUACUAUAGUUUCUAUCCGCUGCAAAGCGCGGGACUCUUCACUAGUAUGAUAUAAGUCUACUAAUAAAAGAAACGUCACAAACAAACGGCAUUCUAAUCAUUUAUUACAAUCCGAACUUAAUUAAUCAGAGAACCAAACACAUAUCAAAUCGCACAUUCAAACAAAAACAAAAAAAAAGAAAGCACAUUCUAACACAUGUGUACGGAAUAUGGUAACGAACGAGAUGUAUACCUUUGCCAGGUGAAGACAAUUGUAAUGUCUUGAAGAAUAAGUAGUUUAAUAGUUAGUAGGGGAAGGAAGUAAAAAUGUCAACUUUACAAUAGUAAGACCAGAAAUAAGGACGGAAGUAGUAGGCGGAUCGGGCGGUCGAAUUACCGGAUCGGGCGUAAAACGCAGACCCAAGCCCCGCCGGGUUGCGGGUGAUGCGGAGAAGGCAGGAACCGACGCCCACUUACCGUUAUGCAUGGGUCAGGCGAACCGGAGCUCGGAUCGAGGCGAAAUGGCAAACCCAAGACCUGCAGGGUUGCGGGUAGUGAGGAGAAGUGCGGACCCGAGUCCGUUUGCCUGACAAUCAGCAGAAGAGAUCGGGAAAGCCCGGGAAAGGGCCCAACUACCAUGAGAUUUCAGCCCAUACGAGUUUUUCCUCAAUUUAUCACUUUUGCUGUUUAGCCCUCAUAGACUAGGUGCGUUUUUAGUUUAGUCCAAAUUACCAAGUACUAUAAAUACCAAAGUAUAAUGUAAACAGGGUAUCAAUAAAAUGAAAUAUUGAAUCUGCUUCUUCCCCAAACUCUCUUCUUCUCUAAACUCUCUUUUCCCAACUCUUAUCUUUUCUCUACCUCUCAUCCACACCAUGUCUAAACUCUAAACACAAUGAAUAAUUCGCCGUGUUUAAAAAAAUACAAUUAUAUGUAUUACGAAAAAAAUAUAAGUAUUAAAAAAAGGGAAUACAAAAAAUAUAAGCACGGAACAUGGUGAAUGGACCAUUCACCGUAAUUGAACACGAUGAAUGAUUUACCGUGUCUAAGAAAAAUAUAUCAUUUACCGUGUUUGAAUGCGGUGAAUGAUUCACGGUGUUCAACUUAUCACCCCUCCAGCUUUUACAAAAAUAAUUUAUAAAAUUUAAAUUUUAUAAAAAUAUAUUUGUUUGUUAUAAUCGGAACGACGAAAAGUAGAUCCAGAAAAUAAUUUAAUGCAGGAAAAGAAAAGAUAAGGAAAGAGUACACCGAUAUUUACGUGGUUCGGCCAACAGCCUACGUCCACGGGCGAAGACGGAGCAAAUACUUUGUUAAUGUCGAAAAGGCGGAAUACAAAGAAGAUUUCUCGAAAAAUAACCAAAGCUUAAUUAGAUCGAAACGCCGCAACAAGCAACUCCAAAAUUGGCUUCUCUCUCACCCGUACGACGUAUGGCUAAAUUAAAGUAGCCGCGGAUUCUUGACCGUACGAAACGUGCAUAGCUUGGCUUAAUUAGAGUGUGGCUUCUAAUCAGCCGCAGCUCCUGACCGUACGGACCGCAAGACCAACAUGGAUUGCUUAAUUAGAGCCCCGGCAGCUCAGAAUAAUUAGCACAUGGCAUCUAAUUUUGGUCGCGGCAUUAUUAACUUAGCCGUAGCGUAUCUAUUACUCUAUGUGAAUUCCCAAUAAUUUUGCCACGUGGCAAGUUUUUCUCCACUCUCACUAAUCUUUUUUUUGAAUUGAUUUUUACUCUUGGCUUUUCCACUCCCAUCUUCUUUAUUCAAUGACAUGUAAUUAAUGUGCUUUUUAAUUUAUACGUUUCCUAUUCAAAAUUACUUUUUUUGAAUUGAUUCUUACUCUUGGCUUUUCUCCUCCCCUCCUCUCUAUUCAAUGACAUAUAAUCAAUGUGCUUUUUAAUUUAUACGUUUUCUCUUCACAAUUAGUCCUUUCUUCUCCCACAAAUAAUUCCUAACAUGCAAAAUUAGAAAAGGAGAAGAUGAAUAGUUACUACUUUCAGAUCUAGAGAUUGGGGAAUAGUAAGGGAGUUUUCCAAGCUCUAAUCCGUGCCAAUCCGACUCGACCCGAACCCCCCCCCUCCGAAUCAAAAGAGUGUUUAUAGGGUUUCUAUUAAUGCCGAUCUCUUCGGAUUUAUGGAAAAAUAAGGUAAUCGAACGGUUUUUCAAUAGAGAAAGCUAAUUGGAGAGCAAUAAUGGACGGUUCGAGGGGUAGGUUUGGAAAACGAAAAUCCUAAACCUAAUUUUUCUUUUCUUUAUUUUAAUCUCGAAUUCUUACUAUGUAUUCAUUUAGAAUUUAAUUUAUUUGCAUUAUUUUUUAUAUGGUGAUUGUAUCAAUUAAGGACUUGAUUUAUAUGCAUUAUUUUGAUUAAUUUAGAGGUUAUUUUUUAUUUCAUAAUUGAUGUGGCAGGUUUGGCCCACAACUUUUGAUCAUUCCAUGCUCAAAAGGGUGCAAAAUUUUGCAAAUUUUUAUCAGAUUUUCAUCGCCAUCGUCGUCAUCAUCGCAACAUUAUUAUCUCCAUCUUCAUACGACCUUUGUAGGUUUUUUUUUUUUGAAUGUUGAUUCUGGGCAGUUAUCAAUUUUCAAUGGCUAUAUUGGUUAGUUCAAUUCAUACGUUUCCCUACCCAAAAAAUAAAACACUCUUAAAUUUUUAUUUUCCAAACUUCUUUCUUCUUACUCUUCAAUAUUUUUUAAUUUUUUUUCUAUUAUUUAUCCGCGGCAUCGCGCGGGUUAGUACACUAGUAUAUAUAUAUAAUACAUGUUUUCUAAUUAAAGUCUAAUUCUAAUUAGAUUAGAAUUACACUCCUAAUUAUAAUCUAUAAAAUAUAUAUGCUAAAUUAAAUCUAAAUUAUAUCCAAUCCCAAAUAAAUUAGGAUUUAACUCUAAUUUAGAUAACUACAAAUCUAAACCAAAUAUAAAAAUAAUUUACUAUAUUUUGGCAACCUGUAUGUAAUUAACCUAAAAAUUUUCGUCUUAUGAGUGGAGGAGGACAUCAGUAAUUAAAGGGCUUUCUUUGCAAAUAGCCCCCUGAAAAAUUUUAUUUGCGCAAAUAGCCCCGUCUAAAAAUUAUUUGCAAAAAUGGCCCUGGCCCUGCCACGCCAGCGCCACGUCAGCGCCACGCGAGCAGGGCCUGGGCCAGGUGGCUAAGUUGAACACGGCAAUUGGUUCACCGUGUUUAGACACGGUGAACCAAUCACCGUGCUCAUUGUAUUACUCCCGCCCACGACGGGGUGUUAGUAUUACAUUAGACACGGUGAUUCGUUCACCGUGUCUAAACACGGUGAACCAUUCACCGCGUCUAAACACGGUGAACUAUUCACCGCGUUUAGACACGGUGAACCAAUCACCGUGUCUAAUGUACUACACACCAUUUCGCGGGUGCCAAAUAAGGCAUAGAACACGGUGAUUGGCUCACCGUUGUAUUAGACACGGUGAACCAAUCACCGUGUCCAAUGUAUCACUCCAGCCCAAGGCGGAGGGUUGGUACCACACUUAAACACGGUCGAUACGUUCACCGGGUCUAAACAUGGUGAACUGUUCACCGCAUUUAGACACGGUAAACGGUUCACCGCGUAUAGGACACGGUGAACGGAUCGCCGUGUCCAAUGCAUGGGCCGGGUGCGGCUGCGAGAAAAUCUAACACGGCCUGGCCCAGUUCGUUAACCAAGCGCCUAUGGCCCAAUAAAGAAAGUCGGGCCAGAUCUAAAAGUGCGGCUGCGAGAAAAUCUAACACGGCCUGGCCCAGGAACCGAAUCAAUGCACGGGCCGGGUGCNCCUGGGCCAGGCCGUGUUAGAUUUUCUCGCAGCCGCACUUUUAGAUCUGGCCCGACUUUCUUUAUUGGGCCAUAGGCGCUUGGUUAACGAACUGGGCCAGGCCGUGUUAGAUUUUCUCGCAGCCGCACCCGGCCCAUGCAUUGGACACGGCGAUCCAUUCACCGUGUCCUAUACAACCCUAUACCCCGAAAAUGGCUAAGUCUGGUAAACCCUAAACCUUCGAAAAUGGUUAAGUCUGGUAAACCCUAAACCUUGAACUAACUGAAUUGGACACGGUGAACCAUUCACCGUGUCCAAUACAACUAGCCACACCUAAGCCGUAUUUGGCCAAAUAUGGAAGUAAAGGACACGGUGAUUAGUUCACCGCGGUGAAUAGUUCACCGUGUUUAGACACGGUGAAUGAAUCACCGUGUUUAGACACGGUGAACGAAUCACCGUGUCUAAUGUAAUACUAACACCCCGUCGUGGGCGGGAGUAAUACAAUGAGCACGGUGAUUGGUUCACCGUGUCUAAACACGGUGAACCAAUUGCCGUGUUCAACUUAGCCACCUGGCCCAGGCCCUGCUCGCGUGGUGCUGAUUUGGCGCUGGCGUGGCAGGGCCAGGACUAUUUUUGCAAAUAAUUUUUAGAUAGGGCUAUUUGCGCAAAUAAAAUUUUUCGGGUGGCUAUUUAAUUGAAAUUUUCGUCUAAUAAGUGAGGGAGGAGGCCAUCAGUAAUUGGUGUAUUCUAGACUCUUUCGUGUCUUCGGGAGGUACAAGGCGUGCUCCUUUUCUUGCUAUGACGAACUCCCACAUCACCAAAGAGAGGGGAAAAAAAAAAAAAAAAGGAGGGAGAAAACACAUUUCUCUCUCCUUUGAUCCUUUCCCGGAAACCAAACAUCGCAUUACAGAAUCUGGCAAUGGCGGGGCAGCGCGCUGGAUGNGGCCAUCAUUUAUAAUGAUGAUGAUUAUCAUCAUAAUCUUUAAAGGCGCUUCGACUUCAUGUGAGGAUGCCUCCGUUGUCGACGGCAUUGGAUCAGCAUCUUCUUGCUCCCUUUCAUAUUUUUUGAUCCUGGCUGAAGUAACUAUCAUCAUUUUUUCUUUUUCUUUUUAUUCUACUUCUCCAUUUCUCUUCUUGAUGCCUCCUCUUCCUCCUCCUUGUUGUUGUUACUGUUACUGUGUUCGUGUUGGUGUUGGUGUUGGUGGUGGUGGUGGUGGGGGUGGGUGGAGCCUACCGUCUCCCCGCCCUAUCCUGAAAGGUUUCAGGAAAACCCACAAAACUUCGCCUUUCGGGGUAAAGAUGUAUAAAACUUUCCGCAACUAUCAUCCUUUUCGAUCUGACUACCUAACAGUUAAAAGUUUGGAUUUUACUACCCGUUCUUUCAAUUUAUUUGAUUUAAGCCGAUUAGUAAGCAACUAUGAAUUCAUUAAAGUAAGCAAUUAGUUUAAAUUUUGAAGUCCGAUUAUCGUUGACCGACUCAAAUCGAACAAAUUGGAAAGUUCGGUGGUAAAAUCAAAAUUCUGGGAGGUCGGGUGGUCGACUCAAAAUGAGGCAUUUAGGUUCUCGCAGUUGGUGCUUGGCAUGGUCAUGGUAAUCUUGGAAGGCUCUGCUCUUCUACAGGCAACCACUUUUCCAUGCGAUGUCUUGUGGUGUACUGCAGUACUGUGUUUCGUACCAAUUUUUCCGUGCAGGUGUUUUGGAGCGGAAAUUGGAAUCAUGGUAGAUCCGACUGGAACCGUUGGGUUUGCUUAGACUUGCUGAAAUCACUUCAAACCGGUGGAAAUCAAUUCAAACCACACCUGCUAAUGUUUCCAAGGAUUUACAUGUUCUUGGUUGCAAUUUCAUCCAAAUCAGUGAUUUGGAGGAUCCGAAACUGGGUGCAAAGGAGGCUGUGAUGGUUGCCAACCUGGGUGCUAAUGCUUUGUCCAAGCCAUUUCUUCUUUACCCAGUGUAUACAGCGAAAACAGCUCUUUUAAUAUCAUUUCUUCUUCGGCAAAUUGGAUGGUCUGCUAAUUUAGCAGGCAACCUUAUGCUAGCAUCCAUUGUUAUGGUGCAUGGAUUUUAUGAUGCUUUCUGAGUAAGGCCGGGGAAAUGGUUGUGAACAAACAAAUUGAGGCUUUCGGUGGGUCUCUUGCUGUGUCAUCAACCAUAAUAUUGAUUAGCGACAUAUUGCCGUUCACUCAACUUAAUUGGCUUGUGAGACUUGAUAGCAACAAUCAAGAAAGUUCGAGUCGAAAUUGCAACAAUUAUAUUUUGAGGACUAAAGUGUUACCUGCCUCAUUGUUUGAGGACCAAAAGUGUAAUUUAGCCUUAUUUUAUCUAACAAACCACUGAGCAGGUAAGAAUUUUCUUGCUAAAUUGCAUGUUUGGUCCUCAAACAAUGUGUAACACUUUGGUUCUCAAACUUUAAUCUGUUACAAUCUAGCCUGAACUUUUUGAAUUGUCGCAAUCAAGUCCUGCAAUCCAAUUUAGAUGACUAAAUAUUGAUGCAUCAUUGAUGUAAUAGUGAUGUGACAUUUUAUUUUUUGUCUCAUCAUCAAUUACCAUAUUGCUACCGUCACUUUCACAUUACCGACAUAUCAAUAUUUAGUCAACUAAAUUAGAUUGUAGGACUUGAUUGCAACAAUUUGAAUCAGAAAUUACAAUAAAUUAAUGUUUGGUCCUUGUCAUGUGUCUCAAAGUUUGAGGACAAAAUGUGCAAUUUACCCUAAUUUUCCUCAUCUCAGUGGCAGCUCUCAAUUGGAAGGUCUGCUGUUUUGCAGGCAACCUUGUUCUGUCAUUUGUCUUCAAGGUGCAUAAGACUCUCAUGAUGCCUCUUGAUAUGAUCAAAUGGCAUGUUGAACCCUCUCUUUCCUUCUACUUGAAACAUUCGUUCUACUUUCUUUUCAGCUUUUAAUAUUUCUCAUGUCGACCGUCCGUGUGUCCUCAUGUUGACUGUAUGCUUCAAUCAGACAGGCACUUAAUGUUUUAUCCCAUGUUAAGUAUUUUUUUCCCUUCAUUUUACUUGUCAAAGGAGGCUGUGAUGAUUGUCGGUUGGGAAUGCACCUCAGCUUAUUUUAUCCCGGCUUUUGCUUCUCGGCGGAGUACAGAAGCUGAUAAGGAUACUGGAUAUAAGAGGCAAUAUAGUCAACUCAAACCUAAGAUUUUGGUUGGGUUUUGACAAGUCGGGUGGGAUUUGAAUCUGGUUUGUUAGUUUGCUUUGUCCUUUUACAACCCUUGGGAGCCUUUCACUUUGUUCAUUUGUGGGAUAGACAACAUCUCAGUGGGUGGUUUUUGGCUGACAUGAUGCACCAGGUGCAGGCAAUAAUUUUUCCUUUCUGGGCAGCUCGUGAGGCCAACAUUAAGUACCCGUAGCAGUAUUUAAUUGGAAGGCCUUGCAGGCAAGCCUAUGCUGUCACGUCUUUAAGGUGCAUGAGAUUACAAGAUCCCUCAUGUGGUGAUUAAGCGGCAUGUCUGAGUCUCCAUUUUAUUUUCCUACUUCCUUUUUAGCUAUUGAGAUUUGGUUGUUCACGUUUGUUUUCCCCCUCGCUUUCUUACUGCAUAUAGAAGCUAGGAUGGGUUGUUUUAAAUAUUCCUUAUCAAACCGUUGAAACAUGACUUCAUGCUGGUUGAUGGUAAAUUUUCUAUCCUAUAUGUAUUCAGAUCAGAGGGAAUUUGUUAAUCUUUCGGAUUUUGAUAAGAACUAAAUAUAAGAAAGAUUUGGAUGCUAGGUAUAUAAAUAUUUGGGUUAAUUUCUUCAAUCCCUUCCUUAAAGAUUGUAAUUUCAUAAAGACUCCUUCAAAUUGUAAAGGGUUUAGGGUUGCAUGCAUACAUCUCUCUCUUUUGCAUCUGAUCGACAUCAAGUUUCUAUAUUUAUAUUGGGUUUCUUUGCAUUUUAAAGUUAUACAAAAUUGUUGCAGGGCAUGCAAUCAAAACGGUUGCUCAAUCAAUAGCUUCACUUGAGCCCUAUUAUGUUAUUUGAUAAAGUUUUGGGAUUUAUUUGUUAAAAAGUAGAAGUUUUAGCACCUGUUUGCAAAAGUGUUAGAGUUUAGGGAGGCUUUGUACAUUGUUUCAAUUAUUAAUGUUUACUAAAAAAUGUAUGUUGGGCGCAAACAUUGCAUCCUUUUGGGCUAUUUAGAGAGGCAAAAUACUGUGAGCCCUCAAUUACGGAUGUAUGGGUAUGCCUUCGAGGCGAUACGAGCUAGAGAGCCUAUGUUGGGGGAAAAACAAAGUACUGGGCGUGCUCCCUUCUUGCUGCAAGCUCCUCUGUCUCUUCACUCCCACACUGAGAAACCAAACACCCCCUUAGAGAAUCUGGUAUUGGCGGGGCAGCAUUGGAUGGUUUGCUGUUUGUAGGCUACUGAGCUGCAGCCAUUAUUCCAGAAUUGGUGCGGCAACGGCAGCGGUGGCGAUCAUUUUGUGGCCAUCAUUUAUAAUGAUGAUGAUUAUCAUCAUAAUCUUUAAAGGCGCUUCGACUUCAUGUGAGGAUGCCUCCGUUGUCGACGGCAUUGGAUCAUCAUCUUUUUGACACCUCUCAUAUAUUUUGAUCCUGGCUGAAGUAACUAUCAUCAUUUUUCUUGUACUUAGCCAUUCUUUGCUUGAUGCCAUUUUGUUGUUAUUGUUAUUAUUAUUAUUAUUGUUAUUGUUAUUGUCGUAGUGGUGGUGGUCGUGCAGGUGGGUGGAGUCUGCUCUCUCUCUGCCCCCUGUGAAAAGGGAAACCCACAGAACUUCGUUCUGUGGGGUUGACCAAGCCUUCUCUCUCUCUCUCUCUCUCUCUCUCUCUCUCUCUCUCUCUCUAUAUAUAUAUAUAUAUAUAUAUAUAUAUAUAUAUAUAUUGAGUUCGGCUAUGGUGCUUUUAAAAGCACCAAGCACUUGGUCCUUGUAAGUUUUUGUAAGUUUCCCAUUGUUAGAUUUAUCUCUUUGACCAAUUCCACCCCUAAGAUUAUACUAUUCGACCAACUACCCGCUCAAAUCUUGGGGACAACUAUUAUCCUAACCCUACAAAUCUUCAUCCUAGGCCGAAAACCUACAAGCACCAAUGACUUGGCACUUUUAAAAGCAUAGGAGCUCAAUUCUAUCUAUCUAUCUAUCUAUCUAUCUAUCUAUCUAUAGACAUAUAUGUAUAUAUAUACAGUUUGUGUGUGGGGAAUAUAAGGGGAAAAAAAACAACAAUCAUGCCACAUGAGGCAUUAAGUUUUCAGCGGUUGGUGCAUGGCAUGGUAAUAUUGGAAGGCUUUGCUUCUCUGCAGGCAACUAUUUUUUCAUGUGAUGUCUUGCUUAGACUUGCUGAAAUUAUUGAGAACAAGCUUAUUAAAGCUUUCGAUGAGUCUCUUUCCACGUCAACAACCACAACACUGUCACAUUACUGUUGCAUUAGUGGGACAUUACCGAAAGUAAGUUGGCCUAUGAAACUUGAUUGCAACAAUCAAAAAAGUUUGAGCUAGAAAUUGCAGCUAUUAUGGUUUGAGGACCAAAAGUGUAAUUUAGCCUUAUUUUAUAUAACAAACGACUGGGCAAGCAAUAAUUUUCCAAUCUCGGCACCUAUAACUGCACUCAAUUGGAAGGCCUGCUAUUUUGCAGGCAACCUUGUUAUGUCGGUUGUCUUCAAGGUGCAUAAGACUAUAUGAUGCCUCUUGAUAUGAUCGAAUGGCCAGUCGGAGCCUCUCUAUCCUUCUACUUCCUUUUCAUCUAGUAAUAUUUCUCAUGCUGACUGUCGAUGUUCUCAUGCUGACUGUAUGCUUCAAUUAGACAGGCCCUUAAUGCUUCAUGCAAAUGUUAAGGAAGCGUCUCUCCUUUAUGUUACGUUUCGAAGGAUGUUGUGAUGAUUGGCGGUUGCGAAGGCACCUCAACUUGUUUUUUUCUUGGCUUUUGAUUCUUAGAGCGUGUUUGGUUCACUUCUUUUUCACUCUGGAAUCGAAAUCGGAAUGGGUGAAUCUGUUUGUGGGUGUUUGGUAUGCGGGAGUUCCAUUCCCAUUCCUAUUCCCGAGUGGGAUGGGAAUCCCCUAAUCAUCUCUUUUUCCAAUCCGGUCUAGUAGGCCGGAUUGACAGUUGAAUCCAGACGGAAUGGAUAUUUAUUCGGAUUAAAUUAAUUUUUUCAACUUUUUUAAAUUAAAAUAUGAGUUUAAAUUUAGAAAUUAAAUUUAUAAUUUUAAAUUUUAAUUUGAAUUUGAAUUAAAAAUUAAAAUUUAAUCAAUUAUUUUGAAUCUAACUUAUAAAUUUGAAUUUAAAUUAAAUUUUAAUUUAUAUAAAGUUUUAUUCAAAUUUUAUUUAAAACUUAAAUUAAAUUUAUGGAUUCAAAUUAAAAUUAAAAUUGUAAUUUUAAGUUUGAAUUUGAAUAAAUCGAAAUUUAGUUUUAUAUUUUGAAUUAUCCACUCAACUUCAAAGUUUAAUUUUUUAAAAAAAAAUAGAUUUAAAAUUUUGACAUUAUUUCAAAAUUUUGAUGUAAAUUUUUAAUAUUUAAUUUUCAGUUUGAAUUUAAAUUAAUAUAUUAUAAAGAUAAAGUUAGUAUAUUAAUUUGAUUACGUUUUUUAUAUCUAUCUGAACAAAACACCGACAAUGGGAAUGAUUUAUUCCGAUUCCGAUUCAGGUAAUGAAUCAAACAGAAUUAGGUAAUGAGUCAUUCCAAUUCUGAUUUCAGCUUAUUUCGAUUCCGAUUCUGAUUCCGAUUCCAACUUCGAACCAAACGCGCCCUUAAUGGAGUGCAGAAGCUGAUCGAAAUACUGGAUAUAAGAGGUAGUAUGGUCAACCCUAAAAACUGCACUUUUGCAUUAAAAAAAAUCCCUUUCAUGAAUAACUGUAGAAACGGAUGGUCUGCACUUUUGCAGGCAACCUAGCAGUUACAUGCUGUUUUUUGUGGUUUGUACUUUUAAGCUGUUUCUUUGCGACAUCAUUUGCCUAGUGAUCAAGCAAUGCCAAAUACAUCGUAUAUUAGACAUUAAAAUUGUUGAUUUCUGGACAACUUGACUACUUAGCAAAUGAUAUCAAAGAAUGAUGAAGUUUGAAACCUAGAAAGUUGAAAUAUCCUAGAUCAUGUUUGACGGUGCUGAUGGUCUAUCCAGAUGCCCCAUUAUCGGAAAUGACACGGAAGUGAGCUGUACUUGUAGAAGUAUUCUAGCCUCUCCUUUUCUCUCUCUCUCGAUCUCGAUUUUCUAGGUUGAAAUAUAGAGCAAAAAGUUGGUGGUGGCACUAUUAUGGAUCAAUAAGGUCUAAGGUUCACUUCUUGAAGAUCCCCCUGCUCCCCCCCCCCCCCUUCAAAAAUAAACAAAAAAAAAACACACACACACACACACACACACACACACACACACAAAAAGGAAAAAAAAAAAACUCAAAAUGCAGUUCCUCGUGGAAACUGGCUCCUGCUCGGCAUGCUAUCUUGAACGGCUAGCUCCGAUGCAGACAACCAAUAUUUGCAUCUAUACAGGGGAUUUUAAUCCUCAGUUUGCUAUUUUGAAGCAACAAGUGUCGGAUUGUACGUUAUCUGAAUGUACAUGUUCUUUGAGGAAUGGCUAUGAUGACUGCCUGGAUGCACCAGAACUGAAGCAUUUGACUGAAACGUAGCUUGGCAAUCUUUGGAAGGCUUGCAAUUCUGUGAGCAACCAUUAUGCAGCUGUUUGUGUAGUUCUGUGAAGAUUCUGAUGAAAAGGCCAGAUCUGAGCCACCUCCCUUCUCAGCAUCAUCUUCGUUAAAUUAUGAAAAGCUUUCUUGUACUUUAUCCUCUGUCACAAUUAUCUAACUGCUCGAGAAAGAUGGACUGUAGACAACCGUCCGCUUGUAGACAUCUUUGACUCUAUGGUAAACAGUUGCGACAUGUUUGUUGGGUAAAUGAAAGAAAUAUGUUGAACAAGAUGGUUGUGUGUCGAAAGAAAUGAUCUGUGCUGCUGUUUAAAGCUGCAUUCUUAUGUCUUUCCAUGUGGCAGCUGUGAUGAUUGCCAAGUAUGGAAGCAUCAAAACCCUUGAACAUUAGACUACACUUUGAUCUGCACAGCGUGGCAACUUUUGGACGGCUUGUUUAGCAAGCAUCCAUUUUGCGUUUGUAUGUGUAGUUCGCAAAUGCUCAUAAAAAUGGGGUGAAAAUGUGCAGAACUUAUCUGAACUAUGGACCAUUUCGAGAAAGGCAGAUUGUAGACAACCGUCCGCAUGUUUGUUGUGUAGACAUCUUAGACUCUAUGGUUAACAAUUGCGGCAUAUUUGUUGGGUAAAUAAAAGAAAUAUGUUGAUGGUCAUGUGUCAAUAGAGGCUCUAAAUUUGCACUUUUGUUCUGCGCCACAAAUGAGCUGUGCUGCUGUUGAAAGAUGCAUUGUUACCUCUUUCUAUGUGGUGGCUGUGAUGAUUGCCAUGUAUGGAUGCACCAAAUCCCUACAACAUUUGACUAAACUUUGAUCCGCACAGCUCGGCAACCUUAGGAAGGCUUAUUUUGCAAGCAUCCAUUUUGCUUUGUAUGUGUAGGUUUGCGAAUGCACACAAAAAUGGCAGAUCUGAGCCACAGCGUCUAAAUAUCUCCUUUUCCUUGUUUAGAACUAACAAUUUUUUACCCCUUGCUUGCUCUUGUUUAAAGAACUUCUGUUUGCUAAAUCGCCUCUUGCAACAAGGUGGUUAGUUGAUAAGAGGAAAAAUGUUCCUUUAUGACAAUAUAUGUUUUUGAAGUUUAGUGGUGAUAAUUACACCGCAGUUGGAGGGGGUUUGGCAUAUUUUUGUCUUUAAAUAUGGCCCGCAGGUAGUGUAGUUUUAACAGAGCAUUAGACCUGCCUGGCAGGAACAUUGGAUGGCCUGCUUAUAUGCUGGCAACCAAUUUUUGAUGCUGUAAGCUGGAGUUUGUACCGAGGUUCGUAUUAUUAGCGUUGAGCAUCGCGAUGUAACUUUUUGUAGUUGUACAGAGCCGAAGAAUUGCUCUUUUGCAUCCUUCUUCCUUAGUGGGUAAUCAAAAUUUCCACAAAAUUGGAACUUCAAAUCUCACUUCUUUCAAGUUUAUCCCCAAACCGGUUUUCUAUAAAAAUAAACUGAACAUGCGACUUCGGCAAUGCUGAGGACUCAUAGGGGUGACACGGUCGAAUACGGUCGGAUUUUUGAUGAAACCAUAUCCGUAUCCAUUUCGUAGGCUAAUUCGGGUAUGAUGAUGUUGGAUUCGAUCGGAUUUUAUCCUAACCAUUUUCACCCCUACUUGUGGUACAUUUAUUCAGAGGAAAAAUACUCUUGAGCCCUCCAAUGAGGGAUGGACGGAUGGAUGGACGGACGGGUACAUCGCUAAGGCGAUACGAAAGAGAGAACCCUGCGUUGGGGACAAGCAGAAAUGCAGGGAUGCUCCCUUCUUCCUGUAAGUCCCUCUGUCUCCUACUCUCUUCCACCCCAAAAAAAGGAAAAAAAAAAAAGAAAGAAAGAAGAAAGUCAUUUGUCUCGUUUCCCAUCUCUUCCUUUCCUCAAGUGUUUUUAGGUUAGACAGGGAAUGUGGUAAUGGCGGGGCAGUUCUGGACGGUCUGCUCUUCUGCAGGCUACUGAGCUGCAGCCAUUACUCCGGAAAUACAUUGGCGGGAGUGACGGUGGUCAUUCAUAAUGAUGAUGAUGAUGAUGAUGAUGAUGAUGAUGAUGAGGAUUAUAACCUUUGAAGGUGCUUCAGCUUUGUCUGAGGAUGCUUCCGGUGUCAAUGGCACUGGAUCAUGUUCCUCUUGAUACCUCACCUAUCUUCUUGAUACCUCACCUUUUUCUUGAUCCUCAUUAAAGCAGCUAUCAUUUCCUCCUACUUCCUUUCUUGAUGCCCUAUUGUUGUUGUUGUUGUUGUUGUUGUUGUUGUUGUUGUUAUCAUUAUUAUUAUUAUUAUUAUUAUUGUGGUGGUGGUGGUGGUGGGGGUGGAUGGAGUCUACCAUCUCCCUGCCCCUUCGUAAAAAGGGAAGCUUUCGUUUCUCGGGGUUGACCGAGCCCACACAUAUAUAUGUGUGUGUGCGCGCGUGCGCUUUUAGAAGCAUAUACUUUGAACUUUUGGACCCUUGGAUCCCUAUGGUUUACUAGCUAGUGAUGGUUAAAGUACGGAUCCAAGGGCUCAAAAGUUUAAGUUGUAACUUCUCAAAGCAGCAUAAGCUCUAUUCUAUAUAUAUACACACACACACACUGUUGGUGUUUGAGGGUUGGAAAAAAAAAAAACAACAGGAACAAUUCUAGAUGAGGGCUAAAGUUUCAGCAGAAGGUGGAUAGCAUGGUUAUCUUGGAAGGCUCUGCUGUUCUGCAGGCAAGCAUUAUUCUAUGUGAUGUCUUGCGAUGUACGAGAAGAGAUAUCUAUUCCUUUUUCUCAUGCAAUACUCUGUUUGGUGCCAAAUCAUUAUAGAAUUGAAUAUAUUUGCAAUUCCAUGAGGGCAUUUGUAUUGCAGAAAAUGCAAACUAUGGCAAAUCUGACCACAAACCAGUGGAUUUGCUUUAUCGGAAAUAAAUUUAAAGUACACCUGCUAAUGUCUACAAGGAUGAACCAGUUCUUCUUGGCAAUUUCAUCCAAAUCAGUGAUUUGGAGGAUUCCAAACAGGGAAUGAACAAGGCUUCGAUGAUUGCCAAUCUGGUUGCCCACAGUUUGCCCUUGCCGUUUCUUCUUUACCAUUGUACAGUGUAAACAUCUCUUAUAAUAUCAGUUGUUCCGUAAAUUGGAUGGUCUGCUAAUUUAGCAGGCAACCUUUGAAGCUUUUGAUGAGUCUCUUGCCAUGUUAUCAAUCACAGUACUUCUACAUCACUCCCUUAUCAGUGAUACAUCAUUUAUUCUACUAAAUUGGACUAUGGAACAUGUUGCAACAAUCAAGAAAUGUUGAUUCAGAAGUUGCAACAAAUUAAAGUUUAAGGACUAAAGUGUCAUCCGCCUUAUUGUUUGAGGACCAAACGUGUAAUUUAGCCUUAUAUUAACUUACAAAGCACCCAGGAUAAAAAGAAAGUACUGGAUUUUUUUUUUCCCCCUAGAGAAGCUUUCAAUGGCUUGCGAUGCAUCUGCUGUAUGCAAUAAUUUUCCUAUCUCAGCUGCUCACUAGGGCAGCCUUGCGGGGUAGCUGUAGCAGCACUCAAUUGGAGGGUCUGCUGUUUUGCAGGAAACCUUGUUCUAUCAUAUGUCUUUAAGGUACACAAGGUUACAUAAUGCCUGAUCGAAUGGCAAGUCGGAGCCUCUCUUUCCUUCUACUAUCUUUUCAACUAUCAAUAUUCUCAUGCUGACUGUAUGAAUGUCCUCAUGUUGACUGUAUGUUUCAAUCAGACAGGCCCUUAAUGUUUCAUGCUAUGCUAAAGAAGUGUUUCUCCUUCAUUUUAGUUGUCAAUGGAGGCUGUGAUGAUUGCCGGCUGGGGAUGCACCUCAGCUUCUUUUAUCCUUGCUUUUGACUCUUGGCGGAGUAAAGAAGCUGAUCGAAAUACUGGAUAUGAGAGGCAAUAUAGUCAGCUCAAACCAAACAUGUUUGUUGGAUUUUGACAAUUCUGGUGGGAUUUGAGUCUGGUUUGUUGGUUUUCUUGGUCCUUUUACGCUCCUUGACAGCCCUUUGCUUCGUUCCUUUGGGUGGUCUUGGGUGACAUGAUUCACCGGGUGCAGACAAUAAUUUUUCCUUUCUAAGCAGCUAUAAGGCCAACAUCAGCUACCUGUAGCAGUACUUAAAUUGGAAGGUCUGCGGUCUUGUAGGUAACAUUAUGCUGUUACGUCUUCAAGGUGCAUAAGAUUGCAGGACCCCUCAUAAGAUAUGAUUAAAUGGCAUAUCUGAGCCUCCAUUUUCUUCUCCUAAUUCAUUUUUUGCUAUUCAGUGGUACACUCUUCCCUCACCACCCCCCCCCCCCCCCCCNNNNNNNNNNNNNNNNNNNNCCCCCCCCCCCCCCCCCCCCCCCCCCCCCCCCCCCCCCCCCCCCCCCCCCCCCCCCCCCCCCCCCCCCCCCCCCCCCCCCCCCCCCCCCCCCCCCCCCCGCUCCUCUGGCUUUCUUGCUGCAUGUAGAAUCUAGGAUGGGUUGUUUCAUAUUUUCCUUAUCAACUUCCUGGAACCCUGCGUAAUGCUGGUUGAUGACAACUGGAUAGUUGUUCGGGGGUCUAUUUCAAAAUGGCCUAUAGUUGUGGGGAUCAUCAUACUAUUUAUCCUUCUCAAUAUAUUUGAGGGUUAUCCCAAUAUUGUGACUUAGUCCUCGAACCUAUUCCGUAAACACUUGUCCCUUAUCUUUCACAUAUUCUUGCAGUUCAUCCCUGGCCAUCACUUUGGUCCAUAUGUUCCAGGCAAGAUCUCUCAUUAGCACGCUUCAGUGUAAUUUAAUCACUAGAGGAUUGGCGCGUGAGUCGUAAUUGGGGGCAAGAAGAAGUACAGGGCAUGCUCCCUCCUUUGUAUAAGCCCCGCUGUCUACUUUCUCUUGCACCACAAAAAGCAGAAGAAAAAAAGAAAACAUUUUAAUGUUGAUAUGGGAUGGUGAUAAUAGUUUAAGAAGCUUCGGCUUCAUUUGAGGAUGCCUCCUAUGUUGAUGGCGUCAGAUUGCCAUCUUCUUGAUUCCUCUCAUAUUUCUAGAUUCUAGCUAAAGCAACUAUUAUCUUUUUUUUUAAUUACAUCUCCAUUUCUCUUCUUGAUGUCUUAUUUUUUUCUUCUUCUUCUUCUUGUUAAUUGCUGCUGUUAUUGUUAAUUUUACUAUAGUGGUGGUGGUGGUGGGUGGAGUCUAUCGUCUCCCCAUCCCCUCCCGAAAGGGAAAACCCAAAAAACUUCGCUUUUCGGUUUUGACCAAGCCUUCAUUCUUGGUUUUGGCUGUAUAUAUAUAGAGAGAGAGAGAGUUUGCGAUUAACUAUUUAACCCUUGGAUUUCAGCAGUAGGUGCAUGGCAUGGAAAUCUUGGAAGGCACUACUCUUCUACAGGCAACCAUUUUUCCAUGUGAGGCCUUGAAUGUACCAGAAGAUAUAUCUACUCCUUUUCUAAUGUAAUACUCUGUUUGGCACCAAAUCGUUGUAGAAGUGAGUAUAUUUGCAAUCCUGUGAGGGCAUUUUUGGAGCAAAAAUGCAAAUUAUGGUAGAUCCGACCACAAACCAGUGGAUCUGCCUAGAAUUGCUGAAAUCAUUUGAAACCAUUGAAAAUCAAUUCAAUCCACACCUGCUAAUGUUUCCAAGGAUUAACGAGUUCUUGUUUGCAAUUUCGUUCAAAUCAGUGAUUCAAAGGAUUCUAAACAGGGUGCAAAGGAGGCUGUGAUGGUUGCCAACCUGGGUGCCAACGGUUUGUCCAAGCCAUUUCUUCUUUGCUGAGUGUACAAAAUAAACAGCUCUUUUAGUAUCAGUUCUCCUUUGGUAAAUUGGAAGGUCUGCUAAUUUAGCAGGCAACCUUUACCACCAUAUAUUAUAAUGGUGCAAGAAUUAUAUGAUGCCUUUUGAAUAAAGUGGGGGAAAUGGUUGAGAACAGACUAAUUGAAGCUUUAGGUGGGUCUCUUGUGAUGUCAUCGACAACAAUACUGCCACAUUACUGCUACAUAUGUGAGACAUCACCAUCCACUCAACUAAAUUGGCUUGUGAGAUUUGAUUGCAACAGUCAAGGAAGUUCGAGACAGAAAAUUGUAGCAAUUAUAGUUUGAGGGCCAAAGUGUCACCCGCCUCAUAGUUUGAGAACCAAAAGUGUAAUUUAGCCUUUAUUUUAGCUAACAAACCACUGAGGGUGAAAAGACAGCGUUUUCUAGGAACUGGCUCCUGUGAUGCACCAGGUGCAGGCAAUAAUUUUCCUCUCUAUGCUAUGUGUGGCAGCACUCAAUUGGAAGGUCUGCUGUUUUGCAGGCAACCUUGUUCUGUCCUUUGUCUUUAAGGUGCAUAAGACUACAUGAUGCCUCUUGAAAUGUUCGAAUAGCAGGUCAGAGCCUCCCUUUCUUGCUUUCUUUUCAGCUAAAAUGUAUAUCGUGCUGACCGUCCAUAUGUCCUCGUGCUGGCUGAAUGCUUCAAUUGGACAGACCCUUAAUGUCUUGUGCAAUGGUAAGGAAAUAUUUCUCCUUCAUUUUACUUGCCAAAGAAUGCUGUGAUGAUUGCCAAUUGGGAAGGCACGUCAACUUAUUUUAUCAUGCCUUUUGACUCUCGGCAGAGCACAAAAGCUGAUUGAAAUACUAGAUUUAAGAGGCAAUAUAGUCAGGUCAAACCAAAGAUCUUGAUUGGGUUUUGAUAAUUCGAGUGGCAUCUGAAUCUUGUUUGUUGGUUAGCUUGGUGCUUCUACACCCCUUGAGUGCCCGUCACACACUUGUAUGCUGAUUCAGAUGUGGAUAUCCAAGCAUACAUCUCUCUUUCUCUCUCUCUCUUUGUCACGCCCCAGUUUCUUGGAGCGCCACCCAUUCUAGAACUACUCUAGCCGUAGGUUUGCUCAACCCUCUUAACCUUUUGGGCUUAGCCGCUGCUCAAAAUGGUAUUGCUAGGUUAAGAGGUUUAUCUCUAUAAUACCUUAUAUAUAGGACUUCCAAAUCCUAGGGGUGUCACAUUCUCCUCUCGGUUACCUGCUUCCCUCUUUUAGGCUCUGACGUCCUCUCAGGUUCAAACACACUCACAAGCACCGCCGAUGUGAGACUCGUCUUCCUAGCCUUAGAUAACCUUGUGGGGAGCCGCGCUCCACCCACAAUGGCCGUCAGUCGGAGAGCCGUGCUUUUGCCCGUUUUAUGACCCUGGCUCAGCCAAGGAUCAUCUCACACUUAUGGUUGGUGAUUGGCUUUGAUACCAACUGACGCCUCGCUUCCCAGAGGGGUCAUCCAUCCAAGAACUACUCUAGCCUUAGGCUUGCUCAAUCCUCUUAAUCUCUUAGGCCUAGUCACUGCUCAAAAUGCUAUAGCCGGGUUAAGAGGUUUAGCCCUACUAUAUCUUAUAUAUAAAACUAUUCCAAAUCCCGGGAGUCUCCCUCCCCCUCUCCCCCUCCCACCCCCCCCUCCUGAUUGUCUCAUGCCCUAAUGACCAUUUAUAGUCAUAAUCUAUUUCAAGUAAUUUUGGAUUCGAUCAAAUAUCAUAUUUCUAUUUGUUAUAUAAAAUUAUGUGCAAGGCAUGUGAUCAAAACAGUAGCUCAAUUAGUAACUUCACCUGAACAGAGGGGUUCACUAAACUAUUUGAUAAAGUUUUUGCGGUUUUGUUGCCAAAAAGUAAAAGUUUAGGCUCCUGUUUGCAAAAGUGUUAAAGUGCAGAGUACUAAUUUUUGAUGUUUAUAUAUCUAAAAUCAUUUUCUUAAAAUGUAACUGGAAAUUGCCAAGCAGCUCUGGACUGUCUGCUCUUCUGCAGGCUACAGAGCUGCAGCCAUUAUUCCAGAAAUGUUGUGGCGGCGGCGGCUGCAGCUGCAGUUGGUGAUCAUUCAUAAUGAAGAUGAGGAUGAUGAUUAUAACCUUUAAAGAGGCUUCUACCGCAUCUAAAGAGGCCUCCUAUGUCGAUGGCAUCUGAUUGUCAUAUUCUGAUACGGUGAUACCUCUCGUAUUUCUCAAUCCUCGCUUAACUAUCAUCAAUUUUUUUUUCUACUUCUCCAUUUCUCUUCAUGAUGACUUGUUGUUGUUGCUGCAGCUGAUGGUGUUCUUGUUAUUGUUGCUGUUGUUAUUAUUAUUGUUAUUGAGGUCGUGGGGUUGGAGGUGGGUGGAGUCUGAAUGUCUCCCCGCCCCUUCCUGAAAGCCGAAACUUAGAAAACUUCGCUUUGCUGGGUUGACUAAGCCUUCAUUCUUGGUUCUGGUUAUAUAUAUCUAUAUAUAUAUAGAUAUAGAUAUAGAUAUAUAGAAACAGCUUGUAUUUGGGGGACAAAAAGGACAAAACAAACAGCAAUGAAACCAAAUGAGGCGUUAAGUUUACAGUAGUAGUUGCAUGGCAUGGUAAUUUGGAAGGCUCUGCUUUUCCGCAAGCAAUCAUUUUUCCAUGUCUUUUCUUUUUUAUACUUGGUGAAAUGGUUGAGAACAAACUGAUUGAAGCUUUUGGUUGUCUCUUGCGAUGUCAUCAACCACAAUGCUGCCACAUUACUGCUAUAUUAAUGAGACAUCACCAUUCACUUAACCAAAUUGGCCUGUGAGACUUGAUCGCAACAAUCAAGAAAGUACGAGCUACAAAUUGCGGCUAUUAUUGUUUGGGGACCAAAGUGUCACCUGCCUCAUAGUUUGAGGACCAAAAGUGUAAUUUAGCUUUAUUUUAUCUAUCAACCCUUGGAACAGGCAUUAAUUUUCCUAUCUCAGCACUCUGUUGGAAGGUCUGCUGUUUUGCAGGCAACCUUGUUCUGUCAUUUGUGAUGCCUCUUGAUGUGAACGAAUGGCAGGUCGGAGCCUCUCUGUCCUUCUACUUUCUUUUCACUGUUGAUAUUUCUCAUGCUGACCGUCCAUAUGUCCUCAAUCCUCUUGCUGACUGUAUGCUUCAACCGGAAGGCCCUUACUGUUUCAUGCAAUAUUAAGGAAGUGUUUUUCCUUCGUUGUACUUGUCAAAGGAGGCUGUGAUGAUUGCCACUUGGGAAUGCACCUCAACUUCUUUAAUCCUUGCUUUGGAUUCUCGGCGUAGUGUAGAAGCUGACCAAAAUACUGGGUAUAAGAGGCAAUAUAGUCAACUCAAACCUGAGACCUUGGUUGGGUUUUGACAGUUCGGGUGGGAUUUGAAUCUUUUUUUCUUUUUUUUUUUAAUUUUAUAUUUUAGUCCUUUUACACCCCUUGAGAGGCCUUUACGUGGUUCAUUUGUGGGAUAGACAGCAUCUCAGUGGAUGGCUUUUGGCUGACAUGAUCACCUGGUGUAGGCUAUAAUUUUUCCUUUCUCAGCAGCUCAUAUAACCAACAUUAAGUACCUGUAGCAGGACUUAAAUUGGAAGGUCUACUGUCUUGGAUGCAACAUUUUGCUGUCGUGUCUUUAAGGUGCAGAAGAUUGCAAGAUCCCUUGCGAGAUGAUUAAGUGGCAAAUCUGAGCCUCCAUUUUCUUCUCCUACUUUCUUUUAGCUAUUAGGAUUUGGUGGUACAUUAUUUAUUUUUCCCAUUUUUUCUUUUCCUCCUCUGGCCUUCUUACUGCAUGUAGAACCUAGGUGGGUUGUUUUCAAAUAUUCCUUAUCUACUACCUGAAAUGUGACACUCUACUUCAUGCUGGUUGAUGCUAAAUCAUUUAUCCUGUAUGUCUUCAGAUUUAGGCAACUUGUUAGUCUUUUAGAUUUUGAAAAGAACUAAAAACAGAUAAAGAUUCGGAUGUUUGGCAUGUAUAUCUGUAUAUUUGCAUGCUGAUUCAAAUGUGGGUAUCCAGCAUACUUGUAUAUCUACUUUUCCAUUUCUCUUCUUGAUGCCUUGUUGUUGUUGCUGCUGCUGCUGUUGUUAUUCUUGUUAUUAUUAUUAUUAUUACUAUUGUUAUUGUUAUUGUGGUCGCAAUGGUGGUGGUAGAGGUGGGGUGGAGUAUCGUCUCUCCGCCCCUUCCUGAUGGGGGAAACCCACAAAAAUUUGCUUUUCGGGUUGACCAAGCCUUCAUUCUUGGUUCUGGUUCUAUAUAUAUAUAUAUACAUACAAACUGUUUGUAUAUAGAGGAAAAAAGAAAAAGAAAAAAGCAACGAAACCAAAUGAAGCCUUAUUAAGGUUUCAGUGGAAGGUGCAUGGCAUGGCAAUUUUGGAAGGCUCUGCUUUUCUGCGAGCAACCAGUUGUCCAUGUGUUGCCUUGCUUAGAUUUGCCGAAAUGGCUGAGAGCAAACAAAUUGAAGCUUUCGAUGGGUCUCUUGGUUGUCAUCAACCACAAUACUGCUGCAUUACUGCUACUUUAGUGAGACCACCAUUUACUCAACAAAAUUGGCCUAUGAGACGAUUGCUACAAUCAAGAAAUUUUCGAGCCAGAAACUGCAAGUAUUAUAGUUUUGAGGACCAAAGUGUCAUCUGCCUCAUAGUUUGAGCACCAAAGUGCAAUUUAACCUUAUUUUAUCAAACGAACCAAGGAACAGGCAAUAAUUGUCCCAUCUCACCUGCCUGUGGCAGUACUCAAUUGGAACUCAAUUGGAAGGUCUGUUGUUUUGCAGGCAACCUUGUUCCAUCAUUUAUCUUAAAGGUGCAUAAGAAUACACGAUGCCUCUUGAUAUGAUUGAAUGGCAGGUCAGAGCCAACUUCUUUCAUCCUCUCUUUUGUUAUACUUGUCAAAGGAGGCUGUGAUGAUUGCCACUGGGGAAUGCACCUCAGCUUCUUUAGUCCUUGCUUUUGAUUCUUGUUGGAGUGCAGAAGCUGACCAAAAUACUAGGUAUAAGAGAGUCAACUCAAACCUGAGACCUUGGUUGGGUUUUGACAGUUCAGGUGGGAUUUGAAUCUGGUUUUUUUUGGUUAUUUUGGUUCUUUUACACCCCUUGAGACGCCUUUGCAUGGUUCAUUUGUUGGAUAGACAGCAUCUCAGUGGAUGGCUUUUGGCUGACAUGAUCACCUGGUGCAGGCUAUAAUUUUUCCUUUCUCAGCAGCUCAUAUAUGACCAACAUUAGGUACCUGUAGCAGGACUUAAAUUGGAAGGUCCACUGUCUUGGAUGCAACCUUUUGCUGUCGUGUCUUUAAGGUGCAGAAAAUUACAAGAUCCCUUGCGAGAUGAUUAAGCGGCAUAUCUGAGCCUCCGUUUUCUUCUCCUACUUUCUUUUUAGCUAUUAGGAUUUGGUGCUACAUUCUUUAUUUUUCCUUUUUUUUCUUUUCCUCCUCUGACCUUCUUACUGCAUGUAGAACCUAGGUGGGUUGUUUUCAAAUAUUCCUUAUCUACUUCCUGAAACGUGACACCAUACUUCAUGCUGGUUGAUGCUAAAUCAUUUAUCCUGUAUGUCUUCAGAUCUAAGGCAACGUGUUAGUCUUUCAGAUUUUGAAAAGAACUAAAAACGGAUUAAGAUUCGGAUGUUGGGCAUAUAUAUCUGUAUACUUCUAUGCUAAUUCAAAUGUGGGUAUCCAACAUACAUGUAUAUCUACUUUUCCAUUUCUCUUCUUGAUGCCUUGUUGUUGAUGCUGCUGCUGCUGUUGUUAUUAUUAUUAUUAUUUUUGUUAUUAUUAUGGUCGCAGUGGUGGUGGUGGAGGUGGGUGGAGUCUAUCGUCUCUCCACCCCUUCCUAGGGAAACCCACAAAACUUUGCUUUUUGGGGUUGACCAAGCCUUCAUUCUUGGUUCUGGUUAUAUACAUACAUACAAACAUUUUGUAUAUAGAGGAAAAAAGAAAAAGAAAGGAAAAAGAAAGCAACAAUAACAACGAUACCAAAUGAAGCCUUAAGGUUUCAGUAGUAGGUGCAUGGCAUGGUUAUUUUGGAAGGUUCUGAUUUUCUGAGAGCAACCAAUUUUCCAUGUGUUGUUUUGCUUAGACUUGCCGAAAUGGCUGAGAACAAACAAAUUGAAGCUUUCGCUGGGUAUCUUGGGAUGUCAUCAACCAUAAUACUGCUAUGGUAGUGAGACAUCACCAUUUACUCGACCAAAUUGGCCUGCGAGAUGAUUGCAAGUUUUGCAACAAUCAAGAAAGUUUGAGCCAGAAAUUGCCAGUAUUAUAUUUUUGAGGACCAAAUUGUCAUCUGCCUCAUAGUUUGAGCACCAAAAGUGAAAUUUAGCCUCAUUUUGUCUAACAAACCACAGAACAGGCAAUAAUUUUCCUAUUUCACCUACCUGUGGCAGCACUCAAUUGGAACUCAAUUGAAUGGUCUGCUGUUUUGCAGGCAACCUUGUUCCAUCAUUUAUCUUAAAGGUGCAUAAGAAUACAUGAUGCCUCUUGAUAUGAUCGGAUGGCAGGUCAGAGCCUCUCUUUCCUUGUGCUUUCCUUUCAGCUAUUAAUAUUUCUCAUGCUGACUGUUCAUAUGUCCUCAUUCUGACCGUAUGCUUCAAUCAGACUGGCGCUUAAUGUUUCAUUCAAUCUUAAGGAACUGUUUCUCAUUCAUUUUACUUGUCAAAGGAGGCUGUGAUGAUUGCCAGUUGGGAAUGCACCUCAACUUCUUUUAUCCUCUCUAUUGAUUCUCGGCGGUGUAAAAACUGAUCGAAAUACGGGAUAUAAGAGCCAAUAUAGUCAGCUCAAUCCUUAGAUCCUGAUUGUGUUUUUAUAAUUCGGGUGGGAUUUGAAUCCAGUUUGUUGGUUAGUUUUGUCAUUUUGCUUCCCUUGAGAGCCUCUCGCUUCGUUAAUUCGUGGGAUAGACAGCAUCUCAGUGGGUGGCUUUUGGCUGACAUGAUUCACCGGGUGCAGGCAAUAAUUAUUCCUUUCUCAGCAGCUCAUCAGGCCAACAGUAGCUCCUGUAGCAGUAGUUAAAUUGGAAGGUCUGCUGUCUUGCAGGCAACCUUAUGCUGUUCAUAUCUUUAAGGUGCAUAAGAUUACAAGAUCCCGAUCCCUCAUGAGGUGAUUGAAUGGCAUAUCUGAGCCUCCAUUUUAUUCUCCUAAUUCCUUCUUAGUUAUUAAGAUUUAGUGGUACAUUCAUUUUUUUCGUAGCUAUUAAGAUUUAAUAGUACAUUCAGUUUUUUCUGUUUUAUUUUUAAUUUUUCAUCCUCUGGCUUUCUUACUGCAUGUAGAAUCUAGGAUGGGUUGUUUCAAAUAUUCCUUAUCAACCCCGUGAAACCCUACUUUAUGCUGGUAGAUGAUGACUGGAUAGAAGUUUGGGUGUCUAUUUCAAAAUGGUCUACAGUUGAGGGAAUGUUCAUCCUAUUUAUCCUUCUCAAUAUACCUGAUGGUUAAAAUGUAUUGAUAGUCCGUCUUAUCCCAAUACUAUCCCCAUAUUGUGACUUAGUCCUUGAACCUUUUCCAUAAACGCUCCUCUCUCACCUUUCCUUUAUUCUUGGAAUUUCAUCCCUGCCGUCUUUUUGCUCCAUAUGUUGCAAGCAAAAUCUCUCGUUAGAACUCUGCAUUGUAAUUUAAUCACUAGAGAGGAUUGGCAGGCGCGUGAUCAGUAAUUGGAGGUAGCUCUGGAUGGUCUGCGCUUCUGCAGGCAACCUAGCUUGCAACCAUUUAUCCGGUCAUGGUUGGGGCAGAGGAGGAGGUGGUGGUAGUGGUAAGGAUUGGAUAUAUGUGGGUUCAUAUGAUCCUCUUCUCUGAUUAUGGUAUCAUCAUUGUUAUCUUCUUGGCACUUGCUUAUUCUCUUGAUCGAAGUUCCUGUAAAGGAUAUCUUUUAUCAUUUAUUUCUAUUUCGCAAUUCCUGUUCCUUGAUGUGUUUCAGU
RNAcentral lists this long non-coding RNA (56444 nucleotides) under Ananas comosus (pineapple). RNAcentral describes it as "long non-coding RNA (ACOM_LNC002932)". The record is from RNAcentral. Lineage: Eukaryota; Viridiplantae; Streptophyta; Magnoliopsida; Poales; Bromeliaceae.